UCCAGUAAUCGCCAUACUCCACGAAGGCCAUAUCGAGGGAGUCAUAGGUGAGGCGUCCUGUGCCGACCAGCCGUGGGCGACUGCAACAAUCGAGGUCAUGGGUCUUGAGGACCUCCCUGGCGGCUUCAGGGGAGGACGUUACGAUGGUAGGGACACCGCCGAGGCGGAUGAACAUGACGGGGCCAUACCGUCUGGAGAGUUUCCACAGAGACUGAUGAGGCAAAUGGCCGAGUUGGUGGAGGUUGCCUAUGAUGGGGAGUGGUGGAGGCCCUGGAGGGAGGUUCUUCUUUUUGUUAUUGAAGUUUUUCACUGAGAGGAGGAAAAGGAGGAGAGGAAGGGAAACAGCAAGCCACGUGAAGAGGAUGUGAAGAGCCAUUGUCGGGAUGGUUAUGUGCAGUAAGAAUACUUAAAAUGUUGAGUUAAUUUGGCGUGGUUGAGUAGUGUUAUAUACAAAAUGGAUGCUGAAGAAUCAACUCUUGGAAUUGAUACAUAGACUUUUCUGAUCUGUCUGUAGUGACGAUUUUUCUCUGAUUAUCCACAAAGACAAAAAUGGUGGAUGAAUCCAUGAUGAUCACUUCUUGCAUAAUAUGACCGAUUCAUAACAUGUUGAUGUUCAAGAUGAUAUUGAUUCCUAAUUGGAAUCUACAGCUUCAUCCUAACGAUUUUCAAGUUGUUUCAACAUUAUUAGCUACCAAGGGGCCUCAAAAAGUAAAGGGCGUGUGUUUGACAUGCUUGACUUCUCCAAUUAUAAAGGAAACUUAAAAACAUCUACCAUCUUCAAUUUUGUUAAGAAAAUUCCAAUAAAGCACAUUGCUUUGCCGUGAUAGUCAGGAUAACAAGAAAUUGUCAAUGGACACAAAGGAGAUUAUUUGAAAGAGUCAACAUAUUUCUCAUCUUGUCUUAUUUUACCGAUAUAUUAUCAUGGAUGGAUAAUUUUCUCAACAUGAAACAAUUUACAUUCAUGCUACUCAAACUUGAUUCGCAUCAACUACAGGCUUGAGUUUGGCCUUGUAUACCUUGCAUUAUUAAAAACAAUUUGUACACGCAUUGAAUUUGUGAAACUAGAUAUUGUACCGCGGUUCUCAUUCAUCGAAUUUCUCAAAUGAUUUCUUUUCAUGCAUGGCCUUAUGAAAAGUCUUGCUUUGAACUCAAUGGAAAAAGGCCGAGAAUUUUCAUUAGAUUACUUGAGUGUUAUAUUACUUUCAUUAAGGUUACCUACGCUAAACGAUUGUUUGAGAUAUCACUUUGGUGGGCUGCCAAUGAAAAUUUAUGCUAUGUAAUCGAAAGGUUUUUUUUUUUGCACCGAGAGUUGCUAGUCCUAAUUAGUUAUGAAGGUUUUCAAAUAUAUUGGUGCCAAAAAAGUCAUAAACCUUUUGUUUUUGUGCCGAUUUAGUCCUAAACCUUUUUUUGGUGCUGAUUUAGUCCUAAACAUUUUUACGUUGUGCAAAUUCAAUCAUUUCCAGCCAAUUUUGGCCGGAAUUUGCUGACUGGACGCCAGCCGGCUGACGUGGCCUGAUCGAUGCUGACGUGGACUACUUUUAAUAAUAUUUUAAUUUUUUUGAAUUUUUUUCUUUUUCCUUUUUCUUUUUUUUCCUUUUUUUUUUCUUUUUUUCUUCUCAUCUUCUUCCUCCAACCGGUCGCCAAACCUCGGCGACUGGCCAGAGGCGACGGCUGGCAAGGUUGAGGUCAACCUCGCCGGCCACCUUGCCAAUGGCUGCGAGGGUGACCUCGCACUGGGCGACAAGGCUCACCCUUGCCAGAUCUAGCCAGGGCGAGCCUCACCUGCCUAGCGCGAGGCCGCCCUUGAAGCCUAAGCAGCGAGUCUCGCCCAUGGCCGACGAGGGCGAGCCCCGCCAGCUCAGUGCGAGGAGGCAGUCGGAUUUAGUCCUCAAGGCCUAUCGUCGUCCUCCUCCGACAUGUCAACACCCGACGGCAUGGAGGCAAGCUUUGCGGCGUGCGCCGAGAGCGCUUUCUCGACAAUUUUCAGGCUCAGGUCUUCGUUCAUUUUGUGACAUCCGAAUUUCGUCGGAACUCGAAUAUGUAACUGUCUGAGACAGGUUGACGAAUUUAUCGUCAAACUACGUCAUUGGCACCACUUACGACUCCAUUUCAUCAUCAUCACCGGACUGAGACAUCACGUUUCGUGAUGGUCUUAUGACAUACCCUCGUGGUCACGUCUUUGCCAUGUCGAGACGAUCCGAUUUUCAUAUAUCUUAUCGUCUUGUCGAAAAUCUUCUUACAUAACACCAUCCGCGAGACCAAGAUUCUUUCCAACUAACACGUUGCCAAGCCAUUUUUCGUGAAGACGUCCGUUGUCUCUCACGCGUGCGUGCACAAGGCAAGGGACCGAGAAUUCUUCAGUCCAUGUGCAUGCAGAAACAAGGAACCCACGGCCACGUCUUUUCCUUUGUUUAACCAGUCAACCAAGAGGAAAUUGUUGACCCAUGCAGCCUUCACGAACCGGUCCUUCUUCAUGCAGCAUACGAAGACACGCCGCACCAAAUUGCUUCUCCCAUCGACAGCCAUUUGGACCCCAUUUAGUUGAAUCGGGCAGUCAACUAAAUGAUGGGCACGUAAGUGCAUGGAGCAGCAGGUGUCGUGGACGAAGGGGAAAGAACUUCCCAUGCAAAGACACGGAAACAUGGAGUUGUCCCCGUCCCCUGCUGCCACGAAAUUUGGACUGUUGACGUGCGCGCGCUCCUAUCCUUCUUCGGCCAGCAGGCUUCGAAACUCAUGCAUGCGGAAGACACGUCCUCUCCAGCUGCUGCUCGCCCGAAGAGCCACCGAAUCAGCCCAUUGUUGACUCUUAAAGUCAACAAAAAUAACCCACGAAGACCUCACUUUUCCCUCUCACGCUCGGCAGUUGUUCCAUCCUCUCGACGCCCAUCUUUCUCUCUUUCUCGGUGUUUUUCUCUCUCUCGGCACCCAAAUUCUCUGUCUUCUUUCUUCAUUUUCAGCGGUGAUUGCAUCGCAGAAAACCCAGAAUUCCUUCACCAUGUCAAUCGUAAUUUGUUGUUCCGCCGGUACUUCGUCGGCCACUUGCACCACACUGCUGCACCGCCCGCGCCACCAACCUCCUGUGCCACCAUAGGCCCAACUUUCGAUCGGUAUCACGUCAUUGUCGCUGUGAACUGGCGUAUUUGCUAACCCAGUGAGUUUAUGCACUAAACUCUUCUUAGUAGGCUAAUGACGUUUAAGGGAUGUUUAGAUUUAUUUAAGUGUAAUUAUUUUAAUUAUUAAAUAUUUUCUGAAAAUUAGGCCGGGUAGCCGAUGACCGGAAUUUUGUAUUGAUUGCAAUGAUGUAGUUAAUUUCUGCAAUCGAGUGUUAAAUUGUGAAAAUUGAGUGCUGAUCGGAAAUUUGGUCAUUUAUUUCAAAAUUUAUUAAUUUCAAUAUUUAUUCAGAAAAUCCCGGGUGUCGGGUUUUAAACACCGAAAAUGGUUUUAUAUACUAUAUAAACCAGUGGGAUUUUGAAAAAAAGGUUAUGAAUUUUCUAGGUUCAAUCUAACUGUGUACCCAUACACGACUAUUUUUCUUCGGAAGUUUUUAAUACGAAGAAAAUAGGCCAGGAACACUAUUUUAAUUGAGGCAUUUGAGUGCAAUACACGGUGUCCUAGGCCGAGAUUGAUUGGCCGUGCGUUGGUUAAGAGAACCCGUCCCCGAACAGUGUCGGAUGGACGUUACCCUAUAUGGGUUACCCACUUGUUGGGUUUCGGGUCGCAGUAGAUUCUUGACCUAUGCUCCUUCGGGAAAGCUGUCUUUGAGAGACAUAGCCAUGCUCAAUGAGGUGAGGAUGCCUGGCUACGCCAAUAGACCGCCGAACUUCAAGUAGGCCGUGCCCUAGAGUGGGCGUAAUUAUCAAUUGGAACGCAUGUUGAGUGAAAUAUCUACGCCAAAUUAUGGGACAAAAUUGUGUGACAUAGAAUGAGACGUGUCAUAAUGAUUUGGCUCUAUAAUCAAGACCCUUGUGCUGAUUUGAGAAUUGGGUAUGGCGUUCCAGUUAUUGGAGCUUAAUUAUUGCUCAUAUCAGUAUGACUAUCUGUGAUAUAAACUGUAUUGACCUACAGGGUGGAUUUGAGGCGAGGUAAGUCAUCUAUACCAAAUGCGUGAUUGUGUGGUUAGGGCGCCUCUGGGCGUAUUACCCUCUUAAUCGAAGUUUAGAGCAUGGACUUGUUGGGACACUGUCUCACUAAUUAUUGAAUAACCAUUUUCAGGUCCUUAAAAGGUGGUCGUGGAGGACCAAGGCCCCGAACUCUAAGGAGGAGGAUUAUGGAGGAUCGGCGGAUGUGUCCUGUUAGUAUGUCAUAAGACAACCUCUUUUGAGAGUCGACCUUCUUGUAGGCUUUCAACUAGACUCGUUUUGUACUUGAAUCUCGUUAUUCAUAAAAGUGUGCUUUUGUGAAUUGAUGUCCUACUUUUCUAUCCUGAGAUGAUUACUGUCAGGGAAUUUAUUUUCGCUUCCGCAUAUGCUUAAAAAUGAAUGGGUUGGUGACUCAUCCUCGGAAGUCGCAAAUUUUAUCGACCAAAGAGGAAUGGGCAUGUGCUUGGGGUUCAAGGCGUGACACACUUCUUUGUCGUCGUCAUCGUCGCUGCUACCACCAAGCGGCAUUGCAGACUUCAGCUUGUGCUCCACGUCGUCUCCUUCGCCGCCGUCGGCUUUGCUCUCCUCCCCAUGCUCCUCGCACCGAGUUGGCGGGGCUCACCCUUGCUGGCCAUGGGCGAGGCUCGACCUCGCCAAAUCCGAUGAGGGCGAGCCUCGCCAAAUCCGAUGAGGGCGAGCCUCGCCAAAUCCGAUGAGGGCGAGCCUCGCCGCCCAGGCCUCGAGGGCGGCCUCGUGCCGAGCGGGCGAGCCUCGCCACCCAGCGCGAGGCCGCCCUCGCGACCACUGGCGAGGUGGCCAGUGAGGUCGACCUCGACCUCGCCAGCUGUUGCCUCUGGCCAACCGUCGAGGUUCAACGAUUGGCUGGAGGAAGAAAAGGAGAAGAAAAAAAUCAAAAUCAAAAAUAAAAAAUCAAAAGAAAAAAAUCAAAAACAUUAAAAUAUUAUCAAAAGUAGUCCACAUCAGCGUUGAUCAGGCCACGUUAGUCGACCAGCAUCCAGUUAGCAAAUUCCGGACAAAAUUGAUCGGAAAUGACUGAAUUGGCACAAUGUAAAAAUGUUUAGGACUAAAUUGGCACAAAGACAAAAGGUUUAGGACUUUUUUGGCACUUUUCCCCUAUGUAAUCGAAUUUGUUUUUUUUUUUUUUUUGCACCAAGAGUUGUUAGUCCUAAUUAAUUAUGAAGGUUUUCAAGUAUAUUGGUGCAUGAGAAAGAUCGAUAUUAUUUUAAGAGCACUACAUAGGGGCAUAUAUGUCCUUUAGAAUGAUAUUCACCGAACAAUUGAUAGGAUAAGAUAUAAAAACAUCAAACUAUAGAUCCGUAGUUCACCAAAUAAUAAAUAGGAUAUGACAAAAUUAUUCAAACCUUUUCUAACUAGAAAUCUGGAAGACCAAAUGCAAUUUUAUAUCCAAUUUUGUUAGAGCAAUUAGCUAAUUGCAUUGGAUUUGGGUGAUUUUCCAUUAUAUCACGAUAAUGUAUAUACAGGACAUGAGGCUUCUGAAAGUUUGUUGACACCUAAAAAUACCCCCACGAGUUUGUGCAAGGCACGAGGGACAUAAAGCUCUAAAGCCACCAUCACAACCAUAUAUUAGUUAUAAUCCACAUUGGCCCAGCCCAAAAAAUCCAUACGAGACAAGAUAAUUAAGGAUUUUGAGAAAUUUUGGGCUGAAUUUCGACAAAUAAAGAUAUAUAAUAUCAUGAUGAAGCAAUAGAACACUACGUGUUGAAGCCAGAGAUCAAUGAUGAAGAUAUAGCCUUAGUGGUAAAAAUAGGCGGGAACAGUUAAAAAGGCAUCAAACUCGAAAGAUGAGCGGUUAAUACUCGUUGGACAAGUCAUGACACUAUUAUCGAACAAGUAUGAAAUGUGGAGUGACUCUUGAGGAGAAAGUAACCGACUAAUUAACGGUUACCAAGUUGGCUUAUAAAUAUCACAAGCUAUCCAAUAGACAACCCCCCUCUCUCAAACAACACACAAAACUACUUUAUAUUGCAUUUAUCUUUACUUAGCUUUAGUCUAACAAUAGUUUAAGAUUCUCAUCAUAGAUUCAAUUUUGGCGAGUGUCUAUAUUCUGGGAAGUGCUGUCAAUUAGGCCCUAUUUGGCAAAUUUUUGUUUUUGUUCCCCGAAACACAAUUUUUCUUCUUUUGUUCCAGGGAACAAAAAAAGAAUAUAAACACGUUUGUUUACAUUUUUGUUCUAGAGAACAAAUUUGGAACAUAAACAAGAAGUGGAAAAAACUUGUUUCUUAUUUCCGGGAACACUUCUGAGAAACACUUUUUUUUCUCUCAUUUUUCUUCUUCUUUUUUCUCUUUCUUUUCUUCUUCUGUUCUUCUUCUUCUUCUUCCUUUUACCAGUCACCAGCCUUGGCCAUGGCUAACACCGGCAACCAUCCAAACAAGGGCCAGCAACCUCGUCGCAGCGUCGCCGACCCCUGGAGAGGCCGAGCCAUAGCGAGGCUCGACCUUCCCAACCGGCGCGAGGCCGGGCCUUGCCAGGCCAGGGCGAGGCCAACCUCGCACUGCCUAGGUGAGGCCGAGCUAGGCUAGCCUCCGACGAGCUCACCGGAUGUCAUCCAGCUGGUUGCCGGCCACGACCAUGGCCUACGACCGGCCAAAAAGAAAAAAGAAAAAAUAUAAUAAAAAUAUUUAAAAAUUAAAAGAAACUAAAAAAUUAUACAAGUUUACCAAAUGCAUUUCUAUUCCUGGAGUAGAAAUUUUUUGCAAUUACCAAACGCGUUCUUAUACUCAUAAAUUGUUCCCUAGAACAAAAAAAAAAACUAUUUCUGUUAAAAAAUUGUUCAUUGGAAUAAAAACGUUACCAAACGUGCCCUUAAAUUCCAGUACUAGCCCAUUGUCCAGCGUCGCUGAUUAGAUUCCGACAUUAUGUCCUCAUUCUCAUCUAGAGACGGUGUUCAUUAGAUGUUGCAUUUGUCUAGAAUUAUUGAUUAGAUUCCAACAUUAUGUUCAUGCACGCACCUAGGAAUAAUGUAUACUAGGUGUUGUCUACACUAUUCAACGUCAUUGAUUAGAUUCUGACAUUGUAUCCUCGUAUCUAUCUUAGAUUGGUGUCUACUAGGUGUUAUCCACACUAUCUAACGUCGUUAAUUAGAUUCGGAUGUUGUGUCCUUAAACUUAGUAGAAGGUAGUGCUUUAUCAAGCGUCUUGUUCAUAUCCAAUGUUGUCGAAGUGCCUUCAUUAUUGUAUUAUUUUUUUAGGUCGGUUCAUUAUUGUAUAGACUACUUUAAUUUUAAUGGGCUUUAAUUAUUUUAAUGAUGUCAUUAAUUAGGUUUCAACAUUAAUUAUCGUUGAUAUUGAAGGUUUGAUAGGUUAGCUACUUCUUUGAUUUCAAGAUUAUAAGGUGUAUAGUCUCAUUCGCAUUUGACUCUCUUUAUUUAAGGCUAAUACAAAACCUGAGUCUCAUUCAAUAAAAAAUCAAAAUAUAAUACUUGGUGAAAGAUAUUUUAUUGCAAGAUCCAAAAUGACGAAACAAAGUUAUAGAAAGAAAAUUGUCUUUGUUGUAACUCUAAAAACUUCUCUAGAAUUCAUGACAACUUUUCUCCAUCAGGAUAUUUCGUCGAUGGUUUGUGCAAGUUGUCUUUGUUUGGCCAAAAAGAAGAGUAAUAUUUGUCUAGAAAUUUUUGGCCCUUUAUUACCUCAUUUGGAGAGGCUCCCUACCUUCCAAUACACUGGUGGGGCUAAAAUAACGGACUCUACACUUACAAAUGAAUUGAGCGGUUAUAACAUGAACCAUGCGGGUGUGAAUCCCAUAUAAUUACUAUUAGAAGAAUAGCCGUGAAGGUCACUUCUCCCACCGUAUUGUGUAGAAAAAAAAAGGCAUGACUUACUAGUCACUACUAAGCAAAAUUUUUCAGUCCUUCGAUUCCACAAACUACCAUGAUCAUUUUUCAUGCUAAAAUCUGCAGCUCAUCCUCUUUUAGGUUUGAGAGAUUGAUAUUCUUUUAAUAUUUUUACUUCUUGUGAAAAAAAAAAAAAAAAACUAAUACACAGGGGCAGUAAAUUUGUAUUUUAUUUGAAACUGCAAGUGUUUCGGGAGAUUAUUUCAAUUAAUUACGAGCAUGCUUAAAAUGAAUAAAAUAUAUAUUACUAUUCUCUAAUGACUGAACUUUCUAAUAACAAGCUAUAACUCAACAAGCGGCAUUACUCUUAUUCAAAAAUAUUAAAACCAAAAAAAAUAAAAAUUUGAUUGAUGUUGAAUCGACCCAUGCAAGUAAAAGGCUUUUAACUCUCAAAGUAAUUUGAGCUCAUGGGAAGCAAAUACAAUUUGUUAAUGCAAAAAUGACUCGCUCAACUGAUGGUCCCCCUUCAAUAAUCACAAUGCACAAAUUCCUCUAAUGGGUCUGUUUAUUAUUUGCCCUGGAGACAAUAUACUCAACGAGUCUUAUUUUCCAUAUAUAUGGAGAUGUUGCAUACUAGAAUAUUGUACCGUACAAUUUUAAGACGCUUGAUCAUAAUCAAGUACAAGACGUUGUGAAACAUGAUGUUUUACAUUUGUCGACACUUUCGUCAUGCGUCAAUUUUAUGCGAUGCCUUUAUCGGCAACAGAGUGAGAGGCACUUUCUUGAACACGGCUAGGCCAGCCCCUUCUUCCAUGUUCACAUCUCCCUCUGUCAUUCCCUCCGGCAAUUCCCAAUCGAAGGAGUGCAAGACAUUGGCAAGCGCCAGCUCGAUCAUCGCCAUGACCAUCGACAUCCCAGGGCAUCGCCUCCGCCCGGCCCCAAAUGGUAUCAGCUCGAAAUGAUUCCCCUUGUAAUCGAUUGGACUGUCCUCGAACCUCUCCGGCACAAACUCCUCCGGACGCUCCCACAGUCCUGGGUCCCGUCCCAUGCCCCACGCAUUCACGUAGACACAGCUCUUCGGGUCGACAUCGUAGUCAGAUAGCUUGAAGUGGCCAAUGGUUUCCCUUGGUAUGAGUAGAACACCUGGAGGGUGUAGCCUCAUAACUUCUUUAAGAACUAACUUCAAAUAUUUGAGCCCGCUGAGGUCCUCUUCUACGACCCAUUUCUUGUUUCCAACGCAACUUCGGAUUUCUUCUCGAGCUUUUCGCAUCACCCUCGGGUUCCUAGCGAGCUCAGCCAUUGUCCAGUCCAUGACAACUGCACCGGUGUCCACUCCUCCGAGAAAUAUAUUCUGAUAGUGACCAUGAAGUCAUGAUUCACAAAAAAGACAAAUACAUCAAUUUUUGCCACGAUAUCGUUUAUAGCCAAAAAAGAGGACGGUGAAUCCAUUUAAGGAGUUCUUAAAUUAUUCCUGCAAUAUAUAGAACCAUCAAGUUUGCUUCUCAAUCGUGUAUAUGAUCUACAUUAAGUAAUACGUAGAGAUUGUAUGAUAUACCAUCAAGAUGGCCUUGAUGUUAUCUUCCUUGAGCCGGACACCCGCGAGCUCAGUCUGAUCUUUCUCCAUCUUCAGCAGCACAUCGACAAUGUCCUCCUUUCCCUCGUUGCUCUUAUUCGCAUUCCGAUGCUCUUCGAUCACCUUCUGAUAGAGAUCGUCCAAAUUGCGAAAGCUCUUCUCCAACCUCGAAUGGAGCCCCGUGAACCUGUCCACAAUCCAGCCGAGUCGAGGGAAAUAAUCAGAUGCCGAGAAGCUUCCCAACAUCGCCAUUCCCUCGUGAACCAUAUCCAUGAACCCUUCGUCUUCCAACUCCGUCCCCUGAAAUGGCUUCCCAAAUGCGACCCUGCAUGUAAGGUGUGUAAUCAAGUCAGAAUUUCUUGUGAGCGAUUCAUGCUUGGCUCUCAGGCUAGACAAGCUUCGGCUUGGGGUAUUGACUUGAAUCAAGUCUGAACUUGAUAAUAGCUAAACAAUCAGGUAACUUGCGACACUGAAUCUUAUCGAGUAUAGUCAAGUUCGAACAUAGAACUCACUGUCAGGUUGAGCUCUAGUUCAUAGAACCAGGCUCAAUAUAUUGUCAAACCUCGAAGAAUUUGAGUAGUAACUAAAGAUGGAAAGAUCGGUUAAAAACUCACUUUUUAACUUAAAUUUAGUGGGUUGAGUUAUAUGUGGUUUAGUGAAAAGUUUAAAAAAAAAAGUCGGUAUGUGCUUACAUUAGUAAAGCCCAACUAGACAUGGAUUUUGCGGGGUCCAAAUUCCUUACGAUAUUCAAGAGUUCGUAACUGACGAAUUUCAUCACUUCCACAAUUGAAAUUCUCUCUCCUACAUACGCUAUUCCACAAUCAUUCCUAAAUUAGAAAGUUUUCUUUUUCUUAAAUAAAUGAUAAAAACAACUUCAUUUUCUAAUUUCCCACGCCAGAAGAAAUAACAGAUCUUAUCAUAGUUUGAUUUGUCAAAUUUUUUGGUAAUUUACUAUUCGCUAAUUUCUUCAUAUUUAAUCAGUUUUUAAUCGGUAGGUUUUUCAAUAUGCUAUUUUCCAUAUAUGAAGAGAAAAACUGCUAAUCAGUUUUUAAUCGGGUUGGGUUGGUUGGAUUGGAUCGGGUGUGGGUCGUUAAGAUGGAUCAGUAUAAUUAGAUAGAUAACUUAAUCUUGACCACUAUGCCCAACCUGCAAGUGAAGUUAGCCGUCAGAGCCAUGAACUUCUCGCUCAUAUUAACCGGAGUUCCGCUCUCUGCUGAUUUUGCGAUCGAUUCGAUCAUAGAUCCCACCUCCUCUUCCCUGAUGUAUCGGAAGGACUGGACUCGCUUCAUGCUAAACAGCUCGAGCACACACAGCGUCCUUAACUCCCUCCAGUAAUCGCCGUACUCCACGAAGGCCACGUCGAGGGAAUCAUAGGAGAGGCGUCCCGUGCCGACCAUCUGCGGGCGACUGCAACUAUCAAGGUCGUGGGUCUUGAGGACCUCCCUGGCAGCAUCAGGGGAGGAGAUUACGAUGGUAGGGGUGCCACCGAGGCGGAUGAGCAUGACGGGGCCAUAUCGUCUGGAGAGUUUCCACAGAGACUGAUGAGGCAGGGGGCCGAGCUGGUGGAAGUUGCCUAUGAUGGGAAGUGAUGGAGGCCCUGGAGGGAGGUUCUUCUUUUUGUUAUUGAAGUUUUUCACUGAGAGGAGGAGGAGGAGGAGGAGAGGAAGGGAAAGAGCAAGCCAUGUGAAGAGGAUGUGAAGAGCCAUUGCCGGAGGAUGGUCAUGCGCAGUGAGAAUACUUGGCCUGUCGAGUUUGGCGCGGUUAAGUCGUCUUAAAUACAAAAUGGAUGCAGAUGAUGCUUUUCUUGUUUUAUCCACAGGGACAAAAAUGGUACGCUUCUGAAAAUAUGACAGGACAUGCGCAAGAAAACAAGUUGUCCGUAAGAAAAAAUUGACACUGACGAUCGAACCAAUCGCGUAUGUCAAUAUAUAAUAUAUCGAAGGUAGCGGCUAGCGUGUGUGGACAUAUCUAAUCGCAGUAGCAGUAGGAUCAGCUAAGUGAACAUUUUCGAGCAAUUAUAUACUUUAAAUAUUACUAAAUAAAAUAUCUGUAGUUCUCAACUAUAGUGUUUCCUCUUAAAAUUCAAGCUCAAGUUCUGAGUUUUGAGUAUGAUUUAUUGACCAAUUAAGGAAAGUGAAGCUAGGUCGAGCUUCUUGAAAACUUAAUCGAGUUAAGUUUGAACUUGAAAAAUUGAGCUCGGGUGAUGCAUCAUCUGACAUCCAAAAACUCCUACAUUAAUUAGUAGUACGAAGAAAAUGAACGCGAUAAAUGUUAUAUUAUAGGUGAAAGUUCUAGUCGGAUUACUUACGCGGAGGUUGAGCUUCUUAAAACUUAAUGGAGUUAAGUUCAAACUUGAACAAUCGUGACAUGUCCUCCCAUUGCCACCUCCGCUUUUCAGCUGCUAACUUUGCAGUCCGGCGGUCAAGAUUAACCAAAGGGCUGACUGUGAAACUUUUUUUAAAAGUAAAGGGAUCAUUUUGAAAAGAAAAAAAAAAGAUUUCGACGAAAAAAAGAAUUCUCAUAAAUGUACUUGGACCGCUAGUGCCAUUUCACCAAAAUAUAAGUAGGGUGGUUUUCAUGUUGCUCCAGCUUAAAAUUAAACUAGAUCCUUAUAUAAUUUUGACUAUCGGAUUUUAAUGAUAUAAUAAGAACUAUUAUUAAAUAAAAAUGAAUGACUAAAUAGUUCAUGCUACAUUGUCUAGUUGCGGCAUACUCUGCAUGGAUAAAUUACCUAAUUGAUAGCAUCUUAGCAAAGUCAUGGUAAUGAACUUACCAAUAGCGAAUACUUAAAUCGCAAGUGGUGCAGAAUAACUGUAACUCAAAAUUGAACAUUUCGUAGGCAAGACAUGACCCUUGUGAUAAUGCUAGAGGGAGCUGCUGAGAUUGUCUCACAACACUCUUUUUUUUGAUAAAUUUACAUAUAUAUCUCGUAGUAACUUAAACCGAAAAAGGUAUUGGCACUAAAAUGUUGAAAUAUGAAAAAGUUAUUAAACAAGUGAAAAUAUACUUUCAUACAAAAAAAAAAAUGUACUUUUUGUUGGCUUCCCAAGACCCAUAUGAAUAAUAUGUAAUUUCGGAAAAAGUAUCAAAAUAGUCCUAAACCUUUUGUAUCGAUACCAAUUCAGUCUUAAACUUUUUAACUUAACCAAUUUAUUCCUAAACCUUUUUACAUUAAUACCAAUUCAGUCCAUCCGGCUAAUUUAAGCCGGAAAUUGUUGACGUGGCCACUGGCGAUCUUAUGUGACACCACAUGGACAAAUUUUAUAAUUUUUUAUAUUUUUUCAGAUUUUUAAAUUUUCUUUUCUUUUUUUUCCUUUUUUUCUCUUUUCUUUUUUUUUUUCUUUGUUCCUUACCCUUGGCCGGCAAGGUAGCCAGCCAACCGACCAUCAUCGGCCACAAGCUGGUCGGGGCGAGGGGCCCCGUGCCGUCGUAGGCCACUGGCCAGGGCCGUCACGCCCUCACCCGCCACAAGUGAGGGCAACAGCCCCCGCCUAGAUCCAGGCAAGGGCUGAAACCCUCGCACGUUGGCUGGUGAGGGCGUGGCAACCCUCGCUCGUGGCGGGCGAGGGUGCGGCGACCCUUGCCUAGAUCCAGGCGAGCUGCGUCUACCGCAUCUAGAGCAUCGUCGCCUCCUAUCGCGACAUGGUCACCCAAGCCUUCGCGGCCCCCGGAGGUUGAAGGAGGUGGUCGGCGUCCCAAGCUCGGGUAGCUUCUAGAGGGAUAACGGUGUGGGGAAGUUCGCGAUCUCGCACCGGAUUAAGCGCAGCGAUAGCGUCGCAAGCCUCACCUAGGCAAGCGAGGCCGCCGUGGCCCUCGCCUGGAUCUGGGCGAGGGCCGCCGCACCCUCGCCCGCCAUGAGCGAGGGCUGCCGCGCCUCACCGGCCAACGGGCGAGGGUUUCGGCCCUCGCCUGGAUCUUGGCGGGGGCCGUCACCCUCGCUUGUGGCCGACGAGGGCGCGACGGCCCUCGCUAGUGGCUGGCGAUAGCUCGGGGCCCCUCGCCCCGACCAGCUUGUGGCCAGCGAUGGUUAGUCGGCCGGCCGGCGGCCUCGCCGGCCAAGGGUAAUGAACAAAGAAAAAAAAAAGAGAAAAAAAAGAAAAAAAAUUAAAAAAAAUUAUAAAAUUUGUUCACGUGGCGCCACAUAAGACCACCGGCCCACCAGUGGCCAUGUCAGCAAUUACCGGCUUAAAUUAGCCGAAUGGACUGAAUUAGUACCAAUGUAAAAAGGUUUGGGACUAAAUUGGUCCAAUUAAAAAGUUAAUGACUGAAUUGGUAUCAAUACAAAAGGGUUAGAACUAUUUUGGUACUUUUCCCUAUAAUUUCUCCAACUAGUUGACAAAGAAUUUUAACGUACUUCAUGAUGGAUUCACGCAACCGUGAGAUUUCGUAUAAGAUAAUAACUAUCGACACAUCUAACAUUAGCAUAUCUGUAUGUGGCUUCUUAAUAAUGCAAUUAACUUUGAAUUUUCGACAAUGUUUACACAAUUGUAAUUAUUUAUUUUAUUUUUUUAUAAUGUUCUGACUACAAUCGAUUAAUGGGACAUGAAUUGUAUCCCUUUUGAAGCUCAUGAUAGCGGGUGAAUAUUGCUAAAACUCCGGUCCAUAUAACUACUAGAUUCAUUUCAAUCAUUGAUCAAAAUAAACAAAUGCUGAUUACCUCGUCCAUGCCUAUGGUGGUUUAGAAUAGGUUUAGGCUCCACAUGAGAAUGUUUAUGUUUCUCUGGAUUUCUGUUCUUUUGUUCCCCAGAACAAAAAAAAGAACAUAAAUCCAUUUGGUAACGUCAAGUUAUUUUUCUAUUCCCCGGAAUAGAAAGUUAGCUUGGGAAUAGACUUGGAGCAGAAAUGAAAAACAAAAAAAAGUUACUUAUUGUUUCCGGGAACAAUUUCUAGAAAUAAGCCAAUUUUCUUUUUCAUUUUUUUUAAUUCCUCUCUCUUGCCACGGCCACCUCCAAUCGCCCAGAGCCACCAUUGAUCGUUGGCCGCUGCCUACCACUGCCGCCGCCUGCCACCGCCCGUCGGUCGCCGCCACCGCCUGCCGGUCACUGUUGUCGGCCGCCAACCACAGCCGCAUAGCCCAUUGACGGCCAAUGAGGUGGCGGCCAAUGGGCUAUGCAGUUGUGGUCGGCGAUGACAAUCAACGGUCGGCAAUCACAUAGUGGCAGCAGCGGUCGGCUAACGAUCCAUGUGCAAGAAUAAAAAGAUGAAUAAAUACAAAAAAGAAACCGUUGCGUUACCAAACGCAUUUCUAUUAUUUUUCUAUUCAAAUAAUAUAAAUUUUGUGUAGUUAGCAAACACAUUCUUUUACUCAGAAAUUGUUCCCUAGAAUAAAAAUAGAAAAGAACUACUUCUAAAAAAAAAAAAUUUCCCUGGCCAAGAAGCGUUGUCUUGCACACCCUUAACCACCCAAGGAGAAAGGUCAUCAACAUCAAACUUUGUCCAACGAAAGACUUGGUGGUAUGUUACAAGACAAAGGACUAACGUAACAUCAUAACCCAAGCGGUGGGUACUUAGAAGGACAAAUUCGAUAAAGCCACCCCAUAUCACUUAAUCCACGAGCAUCGAAUUGUAAUUAGCCGAAGAUUUGUCCACAUGACUUAGAAUCAUCAUGGCUAAAGUCCAAUAUCCUAACUGUCCUCAAUAGAGAUGCACCUCGAUUUGGUCCAACCUAAAUGCUUUCUAUGUACAAGUCGUGACUAUAAGCAUACACCUUUUAUCAGUCAAUUUUUAUCCUAAAAAUUCUAAACUUAUUGCAUUUUUAUAAAUUCACUCAUAAAUCUUUCAAUUUUGUUAAUGAAGUUGUAAAUAUUUUCAUGUGUUGCCAAUUAAGUUCUUUUGGUCAAUUUUAACUAGACAUCAUUGAUGUCGAUCUCGAUAGUGCCACAUAGGACAAUCGCGCAUUGACUUAUUUCUUUUACUUUUCUUUCUAUCAAGUCCGGGAAAGGUUGGCAGUCGACUCUCACCAACCAUAGUUGAGGGCUGCCGAAGCCCUUGCCUAUUAGCACUUGAGAGAUUUGAGCAAGAGCCGCGAAGCCCUUGCUCGCAAUCGAUGAGGGUGUCAUGGCUCUCACGAGGUCUAGGCAAGGGUUAGGACGCCCUUCCUUGUGAUCAGCAAAGGUUGGCUGGCAAUGCAAGCUGAACUUGAAAGAAAAACAGGGAAAAGAGAGAAAGAAAUUAUAAAAAUUAUCUACAUCAACGUCAGCAUCCACAUUGGCAAUUUUCGACUAAAAUUGGCUGAAUGUUUAAGACUUAAUUAGCAAUAGUGAAAGGCUUGGAACUGCAUUGAUAAAACUACAAUAGAUUUAAAACUUUUUGGACAAUUUCCUCUAGCUAAAGUCUAAAACUCCUUCGACCCCAAAAAAAAAAAGGUCGAAAACCCUAAUUACCAUGGAUAGAGUUGCAUCUCGAUUUGGUCCAACCUAUAAGCAAAUUUAUACAUAUAAAUCGUGACUGAGCAUGCACCUUUGAUCGGUCAAUGUUGAUCCACGGCUACCAGAAAUGAAAUAUUGCAAUUUAGUUCAUCACGAGAAUUAUCUUUGGGUGGACCAAUCUACACAUUUGGGGUUUGUUUAUAUAUGUAAUAACUGCUUUGCUUCAUUAAGUCCUCUAAGUUACUGCGUGUUUAGAAGGUGGCGUGAGGACCUUUCCCCUUAAUGCUACUUAUUUUCUGCAUUCAUUCCGAUGGGCCCAAAAUAAUGUUUGGCCAAUAAUACGAGAAGCGAUCCCAAAGACAUAUUCAGCAAGUUCUUUCUCACAUGAAUGUCCUGGAUCUCGGGACUGAAUAUCACAAGAGGAGUCCAAAUCCAAGCAAUAUUGAUGUAUUCGAUUUAUGGAGUUAAAUCAGCGAGCUUGAUAUAUCAUUAACUCCUUUUAAAGUCUAGUUUUCUAAUCUAAUAAAUUUUGUCCAUUAAUUCGGACAUUGCAAUCCUAUGCUGCAGACGUUUAAUAAGCUUUUAAUUGUAUUAUCUAAUCUAUUAUAUAUAGUUAAAAUCUAAGUUGAACGAAUGUUGGUUCCAAUGCUUGUUAUGUGUUACUUCACUUUGUGUCUAUGUCUGUUACAUGGAAGGUGCAAGCCUAUACAAUGAUAACUAUUGAUUCAUCUAAAAUAAUUAGCAUCCAUACAUGAUUAGUAACUUUUUUAAUAAUGCAAGUAACUUUGAAUAUAUUCAGUAAUGUUUACAUGAUUAUUUUCUCCUUUUUGGUGAUUGACUAACCACAAUCUGUUUUUGAGUCAUGAAUUUUAUCCGUUUUUAAGCUCAUGACGAUGGGUGAAUAUUGCCAAGACUCCGAUCCAUAUGUUCAGGUCCAUUUUAAUUGUUGAUGAAUAUAUAUAUAUAUAUAUAUAUAUAUAUAUAUAUAUAUAUAUAUAUAUAUAUAACAAUUGAGGUUGUGGGUCUUGAGGACCUCUCUGGCGGCUUCAGGGGAGGAGAUUACGAUGGUAGGGCCGUUGAGGCAGAUAAGCAUGACGGGGCAAUACGGUCUGGAGAGUUUUCACAAAGAGUGGUGAGGGCAGGUGGCGUAGACAUUGCCUAUGAUGGGGAGUGAUGGAGACCCCGGGGGGAGUUUCUUCUUUUUGUUAUUGAAAAGUAUGUGAAGAGCCAUUGUCGGAAUGGUCAUGUGCAGGGAUAUUACUUAAAAACGUUGAACUAGUUCGGCGUGGUUUAGUCGUGUUAAAGACAAAAUGGAUGCUGAAAAAUCAACCCGUGAAAUUUAUACAGGCUUUUCUGAUCUGUCUGUAGUGAUGAUUUUUCUCUGAUUAUAAUCACGUCUUGCGUCAUAGUAUCACUGAUUGAUAACUUGUCGGUGUAGGAGAGAAUAUUGAUUCUUAAUUAGAACGUACAGCUUCAUCCUAAUGAUUGACAAUUCUUUAUUUCUCCAAUCAUAAAGGAAACCUAAAAACAUCAACCAUCUCCAAUUUUAUUAAGAAAAUUCCAACAAAGCACGUUGCUUUGUCAUGAGAUUCAGGAUAACAAGAAACUGUCAAACAAUGAACAGAAAAUAUUUGUUUGCCAUAGUCAACAUUUUUCUCAUCUCAUCUUAGUUUAUUGGUCAGUAGAUAUCUCCUAAUGAAGGAAUUUUUUUUCAACACACAGCAAUUUAAAUUCAUGCUAUUCAAACUCGAUUCACAUCAACUAUAGGCUCGAGUUUGGGCUCAUAUACCUUGCAUUACUAAAAACGAGAGUGUACAUGCAUCAAGUCCGUAAAAUUAGAUUUUAUUCCUCGGUUCUCUUCCAUUUUCUCAAAUGAAUUUUUUUCAUGCAUUACCUUAAGAAGUUUUAUUUUUUUUGGUAAUUGAGGACUCCACCACGGACCCCCCUGUGCCCAAACGGCUCCUGAGUGCCGGGCCCCCAUAUCUCAAAGGAGAUUAGCCUAACAACCCACCACCAAAGCUCCCCAUUUAAAUCGCUAGCAAUUGCCAGUUUCGAACUCUCGAUCUCUGCAAUGAUGGAAGAACUCUCAACCAACGCAACUACCCACGGAUGGGUACCUUAAGAAAAGUUUUGCGUUCAACAUAGUGGAAAAAGGCCAAUGACGUGAAUCUUCAUUAGAUUUCUUUCUUCUUGGCAAGUAAUCUAAUGAAGAUUAAUCUAGUGAAUAAUCUAGUGUGUAAGAGUUAGUUAAGAGUCAGCAUCUCCCACGUGUUGUCUUAUCCACAAAUUGACAAUCUAUGCCUACUAUGGUCAUAAAAAUGAACUCCACAUGGCAUUUAAUGGAAAAAAUACUAAAAAAUCAUAAACCUAUUACAUUGAUACGAAUUCAAUCAUAAAUCUUUCAAUUAAAUUAAUUUAAUCUUAAAUCUUUUAACAUUGAUACAUAUUUAGUCCAUCAGGCCAAUUUUGGUUGGCCAGCGCUGACAUGGACGUCAGCCAAUGGCUGGACAUUGACUGACGUUGACAUGGCAAAUUUUUGCAAAUUUUUUAAAUUUUUUUUAUUAAUUUUAUGUUCUUUUUCUUUUUUUUCUUUUCUUUUUCCUUUUCUUUUCUCUCUUUUUCCUCCUUGGGAGAAGCUACCUCGCCUACGGCUCUAGGCAAGGCCGGGCGAGGGUUGCAAGCCUCACUAGAGGCUUGCCAGCCACUGCGAGGAAAGUCCAAGGAGGAAGAAGAGAGAAAAGAAAAGAAAAGAAAUUAAAAAAAAACAUUUAAAAAUUACCACGUUAGUGUCCAACCACCGGCCAGCAUCCACAUUAGCGCCGACUAGCUAAAAUUGAUCAGAUGGACUAAAUUAGUAUCAAAAUGAAAAGGUUUUGAACUAAAUUUGUCAAAUUGAAAUAUUUAAAACUGAAUUGAUAUCAAUACAAUAGGUUUAGGAAAAUACAAUAUUGCUAAACAACUUAUACAUCCACUCUUGCUUGAACAAUUGACUAAUCACACUAGAUCAUGGUGAUUUCCCAUUUGUCGUAACUGGGUAAUCAUCGGGACAAAGGCUCUUGAAGGUGAUUGCGAGAAAGUUAUCUUUGUUGGAGCUCAAAAACGACUUCUUUGGAUUUGGUGACAACUUUUCUCCGACAAGACUGGCCGCCCGCUAGCUGUGCAAGUCAUGUGAUAUCGGUCUUCUUCGGCCAAAAAGAAAAGUGAGCAUUUUUCUAGUAAUUAGCGGUCUAGGCAUUUGUUACCUGAUUUGAAGACUAGUAGUUUGCAAUCCUUUAAUUCCACAAAUCACCAUUCACAAAUGAUAAUUCAACAUUUGGAGUUUUGACCUUAAAAGACAUAAAAUAUCAUAAUUUUAUUUAUGCUAAAAUUAUCUACAGCUUAUCCUCUUUCAAGUUUGAGAGAUAGAUAUUCUUUAAAUAUAUUUACUUCUUGUGAACAAAAUAAGCAGUAUUAGUGAAUCUUAGUUUGAAACUGCUUAUGUUUUGGAAGAUUAUUUCAAUUAAUUACAAGUAUGAAAGCUAUGUUACUAUCCCAAUGACUAUGACACGCCAUAGCUCGUCUUAAUAUAGAGAUAUUGAGGGGCAUAACCCUCUUACCGGGGAACAUUACAACCGGAAAUUUUUCUAAAUAAGUGCACUUAAAGUCCUAAAACUUAUUGUGAAAGUAUAAUUAAGUCUUAAAAUUUCAAAAAAGUAUUAUCAAGCCCUUAAACUUGUCAAAUUAAUACAAUUGAAACCUACUAUUAACAUCGUCAAUUUGUCUAAUGGAAAAUGCCAACAUUGAAUUUUUAAAUCAAUUUAUCUCUCAUACGUGACAUUUUUUAUUAUUUUCUUCUCCAAAUCUGAUUUAAAUUAGAUUAAAAAAAUUUAGAAAAAAAAACUUAAAUUUUAUUUUUAAAAGAUAAAACUCGGAAAAAAAAUGGCAGGCCUCACCAAUGGGGCACCACCACUGCCACUCAUCACUGGAGUGGCCAACGAACGUCAUCAACAAGGACCGGCAUUGCCCAAAUCCAAGCGAGUCUCGUUGGCCCCAAGCAAGGACCAGGGAGACGUCGCUCAAAUCUGUACUAGCCUUGCUAUAUAUCGAUUGAUUAUUACUUAGUAAACAGUCAGCAUCUCCCAAGUAUCUUUUAUCCAUUAUUUGACUAUUUAUGCCCCCUUUCCUCAUGAAGAAAAACUCCGUCUGGCAUUUUAUGGUUGCAUGAAGUAUAAUAGUGAUGCUAACGAAUUUUACUUCUAAUCAUGUUAGAGCAAUCCACUAAUCACAUUGAAUUAGGGCAAUUUCCCAUUAUAUCGCCGUCGGGUAUAUAUGGGGACAUGAGGCUCUUGAAGGUUACAUUAACAAAGUCAUCUCUGCUGGAACUCUAAAACUUCUCUAGAAUUCGUAACUACUUUUUCUCAACAUGAUUUUCCACCAUUAGCUUGUGCAAGUCAAGUAAUACCAAUCUUGUUUGGCCAAAUGAAAGAGUAGUAUUUCUCUGGAAAUCGAGGGUAUGGACCUUUGCUACCAUACUUGAAGAGACUUCCUACCUUCUAAUAUGUGGUUGGGGUUGUGUUGAUGGGCUCUACACCUAUAUAUGGACUGAGUAAUUAUAACCCAAGCCAAACAUUUUACAGUGGGUGUGAAAUUUCUUAUAGUAACUCCCAGAGGAAUAGUUGACAUAAAUAAAUAAAUAAAUAAAUAAAAGGCCUAACUGACCAGUCACUACUAACCAAAAUUUUUCAACCCUUCAAUUCGACAAUCACAUUCACUAAUGUUAAUUUAUAAUUUAGACUUUGCAUCUUAAAAGGCAAGAAGUCUCAUUAAAAUUAAAUGACCAUUUGUUUAUGCUAAAAUCUGCAAAUUCAUCCUCUUUUCUGUUUGAGAGAUUGUUUUUCUUUUACUAGAUUUAUUUCUUGUGCAAAAAAUAAACUAGUACGCAGUGUCGGUAAAUUUGUUUUUAAUUUUUAUUUGGUCGAAAUUUGUUUUUAAUUUGAAAAGUGCCUAUGUUUUAGGGAAUUAUUUCAACUAAUUACGAGUAUGCUUGAAANNNNNNNNNNNNNNNNNNNNNNNNNNNNNNNNNNNNNNNNNNNNNNNNNNNNNNNNNNNNNNNNNNNNNNNNNNNNNNNNNNNNNNNNNNNNNNNNNNNNUUCAACGAGGAGCAUCACCCUCUUAUUCGAAAAUAAUACAACCAAAAAAAAAAAAUGUUCAGUGUUGAACUACCCCAUGCAAGUAAAAAACUUUUCUGUCAAAGUAAUUUGCACUUGGGAUACAAAUUCAAUAUGUUAAUGCGCCUGUGACUCGCUCAGCUAAAGAUCUCUCUUCAACUGUCCUAAUGCACAAAUUUAUAUUGUACGCUAGAACAUUGUAGGUCCUAACUUUCACAGGCUUGAUUAUUGUUGAAUUAUGUCUCAUGUUUGAAUCCAUUAUACAAUACCCGAUACGCACAAAACAUUUUCACGUUGAAACGAGGAAGAACGUCAGCCAAGCGAUUAAUUAAAAUGAAGGAGCGUGCGAUAGGAGCCGAAGGGAAUCCCACCCUUGGCGUUGGAAAUAAAGCCUUAGCUCCCUGGGAGUCUUCUCAUUUGUCACCAUAAAAUCUGAAGGGGUGAUCGUCCAAAUUCUUCUACGUUAUUAAAUGCAUGCACAUGGCCAUGUGCAUGCAUGCUUGUAGAAGAAUUGGUUGGUCAACACUUGCUGCUUCUGAAGCUAUCUCGUAGGCGCCCAAUUUUCUUCUCUUCUUGGUCAUCUUUGUGGACUUCUUUCGUCUUGUUGCGGAUAAAGAAGGAGAGAAGGCAGAAGCUCUUCUACGUGUGUCAGUACACGCUGCUCAGCUCACACGCUAACAUUAAAUGCAUGGAGGCACAUGCUUUGAAGAUCGGUGCCUUCUGACAAUUCUGGAGUACAAUAUUAUUUUGUUUCCUUCUCUUCUGCCGAUAAAAAGGAGAAGACGUCUGGAGCUUGAUGAGCUGCGAAAGAAAAGAGCUUCGUAGUGAGCGAGAGAAAAGAGCUCGAGAGAGAGAGAGUGCGAGGCUUGAGCUCAGAGAGGUUUUGUGCGGAAGUUGAGUCCAUUGAUUUGUUUUGUUAAACACCGUGGGUAUCGGGUAUAAAGUAGGGCUGGGAAACACUUGAGUGCAUAUGUGAUUGUAAUCCUGUAAUUCUCCGAUUUAUAGUGGAUUGAUUUGCUGGCUCUCCCCGUGGACGUAGGUUCCGACAUUCGGACCGAACCACGUAAAUUUCCACUUGAGUGCAUAUGUGAUUGUAAUCCUGUAAUUCUCCGAUUUAUAGUGGAUUGAUUUGCUGGCUCUCCCCGUGGACGCUGAUUCAUUACAACAAUUAUAAUUAAUAUAAAAGGUCGUGAGAGAUAUGAUGGGUUCCGUCUAACAACGACUUCAUCAUGCAUCGGUUUCAUGCGAUUCCUUUAUCGGCAUUAGAGAGGCACUUUAUUGGACACGACUAGGCCAGCCCCUUCUUCCAUACUUACAUCUCCCUCCGUCAUUCCCUCCGGCAAUUCCCAAUCGAAGGAAUGCAAGACAUUGACGAGCGCUAGCUCGAUCAUCGCCAUUGCCAUCAACAUCCCGGGGCAUCCUCUCUGCCCCGCCCCGAAUGGCAAUAGCUCGAAAUGAUUCCCUCUGUAAUCGAUCGUCCUGUCCUCGAACCUCUCAGGCACAAACUCCUUCGGGCACUCCCGCAGGCUUGGUUCCAGCCCGAUGCCCCAUGCAUUCACCUGGAUACGGCUCAGUAGGUCGACACCAUAGGCAAGCUCAGUCUGAUCCCUCACCAUCUUCAGCAGCAAAUCGACCAUGUCCUCCUGCUCGUGGCUCUUAGUCGCAUUACGAUGCUCUUCGAUCACCUUCUGAUAGAAAACGUCCAAAUUGCGAAAGCUCUUCUCCAACCUCGAAUGGAGCCCCGUGAACCUGUCCACAAUCCAGCCAAAUCGAGGGAAAAAAUCAGAUGCCGAAAAGCUUUCCAACAUCGCCACUGCCUCGUGAAUCAUAUUCAUGAAACUCCCUUCUUUGAACUCCGUCUCCUGAAUCGCCUUUCCAAAUGCGACCCUGCAUAUAAGGCGUGCAAACAAGUCAGAGAUUCUCGUGAGCGAUCAAGCUUGGCUCUCAGGCUAGACAAGCUUUGGUUCAAAUCUUUUCCAGAUGUGAGUGGAGUUUCUCUAGUUGGAGAAUCAAGUUCGAACUUGAUAAUAGCUAAAUAAUUCGGGCAGCUCGUAAGUCUGAUUGAAUCCAAUGGAGUAUAGUCAAGUUCGUACAUAGAACUCAUGGUCAAGUCGAGCUCAAAUUUAUAGAAUAGACUCAAUAUACUGUCAUACCUCCGAAAAAUUCAAGUAGUAACCAAAGGUGGCAAAUGGGUUAAAGACCGACUUUUUAACUCGCAUUUGGCGGCUUGUGAGUUAGUUAAAAUUUUAAAUAUAGGUUGUUAUGGGUUCAUAGUAGCAAAGCCCAACUAGAUAUGGAUUUUAUGGAUUCACAGCAUCAUACUCAUUUUCGAUCAAUUUAUGGCGCUCAGCAUCAAACAAUUCAUUCACGCUUUUCGCCAUAGCCAUGUCUCCUACUUCCUUGUGAUGAGCGAUUACAGACAUUUAUAUCAAUUGUGACACACCAUUUUCUCUUUCCGCAUUAAAAUUCAUCAAUUCGUUUUUGUUCAUUAAUUUAGCUUUUAUAUGGUCCCGUGAUCUUUUAAUACACUUGAAAAUUUAUUAACUCGGUAUAUACAUUUCCCUAAGCACCGAUUUAUUAACCCUCGUUUGAAUAAAUAUUAUUAUUACGUGUUUAUAAAUGUAGGACUUUAGACGAAUGCGGCUGGCCCUCGCCAAAGCAAUUUGGGCUUAUCCUAUAUGCACCCGAUGAACCACUUUUCCUUAUGAUCAUCAAGAGUUUGUAACUGACGAAUUUCAUCAAAUUCAAAGUCAAAAUCCUCUUUCCUACAUACUCUAUUGCACAAUCAUUCCCAAAUCAUCAAGUUUUCUUUUUCUUAUAUAAGUGAUGCCCGUCUAUUUAGACUUUCCAAAAUAUCAUUCCAGAAACAACUCUUACUCAUAUGAAAGAUAAAAACAGAUUUAUUUUCGAAUUUCCCUCAUCAGGAGAAAUAACUUGCUUGUUAUCGUAGUUUCGUCAAAUUUUUUUAGUAAUUUCUUAUUCACUAAUUUUUUCAAUGUUUAAUUUGUUUUAAAUCAGAUAGUUUUUUUACAAUAAGCUGUUUUCUAUAUUUAAAGGGAAAAACUGCUAAUGAUUGGGUCAGGGUCAAACCGGAUUGGGUGUGACUUGUUAAAAUUGUAUAAUAGAAAGAUGGAUCAAUAUAAUUAAAUAGAUAACUUACUCGACUCGACUCCUCAACUGCGCCACUAUAUCCUACCUGCAAGUGAUGUUAGCCGUCAGAGUCAUGAAUUUCUCGCUUAUAUUAACUGGAGUUCUACUCUUGGCUGACAUCGCAAUCGACUCGAUCAUAGACCCCACCUCCUCUUCUCUGACGUACCGGAAGGACUGGACUCGCUUUGCGCUAUACAACUCGAGUACAUACAACUUCCUCAGCUCCCUCCAGUAAUCGCCGUACUCGACAAAGGCCAUGUCGAGGUAGUCAUAGGAGAGGCAUCCCACGCCGACUAGCCGCGGGCGGCUGCAACAAUCGAGGUCGUGGGUCUUGAGGACCUCCCUGGCAGAUUCAGGGGAGGAGACUACGACGGUGGGGAUGCUCCCGAGGCGGAUGAGCAUGACGGGGCCAUACCGUUUGGAGAGUUUCCACAGAGACUGGUGAGGCAAGUGGCCGAGCUGGUGGAGGUUGCCUAUGAUGGGGAGAGAUGGAGGCCCUGGUGGGAGAUUCUUCUUUUUAUCGUUGAAGUUUUUCACUGAGAGGAGGAGGAGGACGAGGAGAGGAAGCGAAAGAGAAAGCCAUGUGAAGAGGAUGUGAAGAGCCAUUGUCGGGGGAUGGUCGUGUGCAGUGCAAAUACUUGAAUCGUUGAGUUAGUUUGGCGAGGUUAAGUCGUGUUAUAUACAAAGUGGAUGCUGAGGAUGAUUCUUUUAUGAUUAUCCACUAAGACAAAAAAAGGUAUGCUUUUGAAAAUAUGACAGGACAAACACAGGAAGAUAAGUUGUUCGCAAGAAUAACUGACGCUGACGAUCUAACCAAUGGUGUUUGUCUUCACCGGUGAAAAGAAAAGCCUCAAGGCCCUCAUUCAUAGAGGUCAACCUUCGCUGAAUCGAAGCUAGCUACUAGCUUCAGACUAACUUUUUCUAACUUUUUCUUUUGGCUGAAAAUAGAGCGUACAAAAUGUACAUAUUCUCUCUAAUCACUGUAGAAGUUGGAUCGGCUAAGUGAACCUUUUCGAGCAAUUAUAUACUUAAAUAUGACUAAAUAAAAUAUCUUUGGUUCUCAAUUAUAGUGUUCCUCUCAAAAUUCAAGCUCGGGUUCGAGUUUGAAGUACAAUUUAUUGACCUAUAAAAUCAAGUGAACUCAAGGUCCAAUUUCUUGAAAACUUUAUCUAGUUAAGUUAGAAUUUGUAAAAUUGAGCUUGGAUGGUGCAUUACGUGACAUCCGAAAAUUCCUAUAUUAAUCAUAAAAAAAAAAUCAAUACGAUAAUUGUCAUUGGUGGAAGUCUUAGUCGGAUUACUAACAUGGAGAUUGAGCUUCUUAAAGACUUAAUCGAGUUAAGUUCCAACUUGAAAAAUUUUGAGACAUGUUCUCACGUCGCCACCUCCGCUUUUCAGCUGUCAACUAUAUCCUCCAGCGGUCAAGAUUAACCAAAGGGCUGACUGCGAAACUUUUUUAAAAAGUAAAGGGAUCAUUUGGAAAAAGUAGAAGCGUAAAGAGACGGCAUCGAAUUUCUCAGAAAAAGUACUUGGACCACUGGCGCCUUUUCACCAAAAUAUCAAUGGGGUGGUUUUCAUGUUGCCUCCAGCUUAAAACGAAAGCAGUUCCCUACAUAAUUUUGACUAUCGGAUUUUAAUGAUAUAAUAAUAACUAAUUAAAUAAAAUGAAUGACUAAACAGUUUUUGCUGCAUUAUCUAGCUACGGCAUACUUUGCAUGGAUAAAUUUGACUGAUAAUAUAUUGGUGAAGUUGUGGUGAUCAACUCACCAACAUCGGACACUUGAAUUACAAAGGGUGUGGAAUAGCUACAAUUCAAAUUGAACUUUUUGUAGGCAAGGUGCGACCCUUGUGAUGAUGCCUAGAGGGAGCUGUUAGGAUUGUCUUGCCAUACCCUUUUUUUGACAAAUCUACGUAAUUAUACAUAUCAUUAAAUAACUUAAACGAAAAAAGGUGUUGUCAGUAAAAUGUUGAACCAUAAAAUAAAAUAAAAAAGUUAUUAAACAAAUGACAACAUACUUGUAUACAAGAAGAAAGAAGCGUACUUUUUGUUGGCUUCUCAAGACCCAUAUGAAUAACAUGUAAUUUCUCCAACUAGUUGAUAAAGAAUUUUAACGUACUCCAUAAUUGAUUCAUGCAACUGUGAGAUUUCGUAUAAGAUAAUGACUAUUGAUAACAUUAGCAUAUCUAUAUGUGACUUCAUAAUAAUGCAAUGAACUUUGAAUUUAUUCGACAGUGUUUACAUAAUUGUAAUUAUUUAUUUUAUUAUUUUAAUAAUGUUGUGACUACAAUCAGUUUAUGGGACAUGAAUUAUAUCCCUUUUUAAGGUCAUGACAGUGGGUGAAUAUAGUUAAGACUCCGGUCCACAUAACUACUAGAUUCAUUUCAAUCGUUGAUCAAAUUAUAUAACUAUUGAUUCCCUCGUCCAUGCCUAUGGUGGUUCAAAAUAGGUUUAGCCACCCAAAGAGAAAAGUCAUGAACCUCAAACCUUGUUCAACAAAAGACUCGGAGGUAUAUUACAAGACGAAGGACUAGGGUAACGUCAAAACCCGUGUGGUAGGUACUUACAAGGACAGAGUUGAUAGAGCACCACAUAUCACUUAAUCCGCGAGCAUCAAAUUGUGAUUAGCCGAAGAUUUGUCCACAUGACUUUGAAUCAUCAUGGCUAAAGUCCAAUAUCCUAACUAUCCUCAAUAGAGAUGCACCUCGAUUUGGUCCAACCUAAAGGCAAAUUUCUAUGUACAAGUCGUGAUUAUGAGCACACACCUUUGAUCGGUUAAUGUUGAUCCCCCAGCUACUAGAAAUGAAAUAUUGCAAUUUUGUUCAUCACGAGAAUUAUCUUUGGGUGGACCGAUCUACACAUGUGAGGUUUAUGUAUAUAUGUAAUAUCUGCUUUGCUUCAUUAAAUCCUCUAAGUGACUACUUGUUUAGAAGGUGGUGGUGAGGACCUUUCCACUUAUUGCUACUUAUUUUCUGCAUUCGUUCCGAUGGGGCCCAAAAUAAUGUUUGGCCAAAUAUAAUACGAGAAGCGAUCCCAAAGAUGAAUUUAGCAAGUUCUUUCUCACAUUAAUGUCCUAUACCUCACGACAGAAUACCACAAGAGGAGUCCAAAUCGAAGCAAUAUUGAAGUACUUCGAUUUAUGGAGUUAAAUCAGCGAGCGUGAUAUAAUAUUAACUCCUUUUAAAGUCUAGUUUCUAAUCUAAUAAAUUGUGUCCAUUAAUUCGAAGGGUGCAAUCCUAUGCUGCCGACGUUUAAUUAGUUUUGAAUUGUAUUCUCUGAUCUAUUAUAUAUUGUCAGAAUCUAAGUUGACCGAAUGUUUGUUCCAAUACUUAUUAUGUGGUACUUCACUUUGUGUCUACGUCUGUUACAUGGAGGGGUGCAAUUUUAUACAAUGAUAACUAUUGAUACAUCUAAAAUUACUAGCAUCCAUAUGUGAUUAAUAACUAAUUAAUAAUGUCAGUAACUUUGAAUAUAUCUAGUCAUGUUUACAUGAUUAUUUUCUUCUUUUUGGCGAUGUACUAACUGCAAUCUAUUUUAUGAGUCAUGAAAUUCAUCCGUUUUUAAGCUCAUGCUCAUAGUUUGACUAUCUAUGCCUACUUUGCUCAAGAAGAUAAACUUUAGAUGGUAUUUUAUCAUUCCAUAAAGUUUAAUACAGAUGCCAAACAACUUAUGUAUCCGAUCUUGCUGGAGCAAUCGACUAAUUGCAUUGGAUCAGGGCGAUUUUCCAUCAUAUUGCAAUAGGGUAUAUACGGGGACAUGAGAAAAAAAUAUUAUUUAUAUUGAAAUAUAAUUUUAAUUUGUUAAUUUAAGAAAUUUGUUAUUUGAGAAAAAAUUUCUUAUUAUAGAUAUUAGAAAUACUAUUCAUCAUUAUCCCAUCUCUCAUAUGAAAUAAUUUUAUCUGGUCUAUAUCCCCCUUAUAUUUAACUUUAUCCUAUCUUGAGUGGACACCAAAUGUAAAAUAGAAUAAAUUUUAUUCUAUCCUAAAUUUUUUCCUGACAACCAAACGCAACCUAGAGGAAGGGCUAUGAUCAUCACCUUUUGGAGUUCGGAUCUUAAAACUUAAAAGGCAAGAAGUCUCAUUAAAAUUGCAUGACAUUUUUUAUGCUAUGAUUUGCAAUACAUCCUCUUUUCAGUUUGAUAGAGGGUUUUUCUUUUAAUAGAUUUACUUCUUACCCAAAAAGAAAAAAAAACUAAUAAAUACGCAGUGUUGGUAAGCUAUAUUUAAUUUGAAAGUGCCUAUGUUUUGGCAGAUUACUUCAAUUUAUUACGAGUAUGCUUGAAAUGAAUAAAGCUAUAUUAUUUUUUUGAAUGACUGAAUUCCUAGUGACACGCUACAGCUCAUCUUGACGAGGGGCAUUACCUUUUUAUUUGAAAAUAUAAACCCAAAAAAAAAAAAAAAAAAAAUUGUUGAAUCACCCCAUGCAUGUAAAAGACUUUUAACUGUCAAAGUAAUUUGCUCGCUUGGGAUACAGAUGCAAUUUGUUAAUUCACAAGUGACUCGAUUAACUGAUGAUCUCUCUUCAAUAGUCACAAUGCACAAAAUUCCUCAAAUGGGUCUGUUUAUUAAUUGGCUUACAAGCAAUACACUCAAAGAGUCUUAUUUUAUACAUACAUACAUAAAUACAUUGAUAUUGCUAGUAUGAGUACCUAGAGGGGGGUGAAUAGGUAUAUAAAAGAUUUUUCUUCAACAAUUGCACAAUACUAGACAGUAGAAGGAAACGUUAAUCAAAGUAAGACUGAGAGAAGAGAAAAUUGAACACGCGGUUUAUAGUGGUUCGGCUUAUAUCAAGCCCACGUUCACUCUUCUUCACUGACAGCCAAUGAAAUGCCCCCUCCAAAACAAAAGAGAAGUGACAGCANNNNNNNNNNNNNNNNNNNNNNNNNNNNNNNNNNNNNNNNNNNNNNNNNNNNNNNNNNNNNNNNNNNNNNNNNNNNNNNNNNNNNNNNNNNNNNNNNNNNUGCGCCGGGAACUUCUCUAUCGAGUCAAUCUUCGAUCAAUCAAAGGACUCCGUUAUGUCUUCUCCAGCCACGAGAUCUUCUCCAGUUGAUAAAGUUAAAUCUUUAACAAAACAUCCAGUUCUGGAUAACAUUUCUUCAACGGAUUAGAGACUGUCAAUGAGGAUAGACUUUGAGUCUUGAGUCUGGCUGUCCGGAAGUCUUCAGACUUUAAACAGCAGAGUCUGCAAGCCUUCAGACUAGACUGAUAGAAACGUUUUGUCAACUUCAAAACACUUCAAGAAGAUUUCUCCAACAAUCUCCCCCUUUUUGAUGGUGACAAAACUUUCCUGCAGAUUUGGAUAUCUUUGACCUGCAAAACAUUUCUCAAACACAUAUGCAUAUCUUAUAGAGAUAAAUGGCUAACAGAAUAACACUAGAAUCUACAACCACAGAAAAUAGGUUAGUCCAGUAUAUGAUGAAGCCAUCCAUAAGAUAUUAGUUAAUAGAAGCAGUCAAGUCCAAGUCUAGUUCAGUUCUCAUCCAGACACAAAACAAAGUCAAACAGAGUUCAAACCACAAAACAAUCCAACAAACAAUUAAAAGUUUAAUGAAUGAAAAGUUUUUGUUCAAAUCUUGCAUCUCUCCCCCUUUUUGUCAUCAUUAAAAAGGAUGAGAUGAAGUCAAGAUUGCUUGGGAACGCGGACAAGCUGGAAAUCUUCCAUAGACUGAACGAUGCCUUCCAGCUUUUUAAAGUCUUCCUUUAGUUGUGCAAUCUCCUCACUCUUGGCAUUGGCCUGAUUCCUAACAGAGAGGGCUUGCAUUUUAUCAUUCAAUGAACAGGAAGAAGCUUGACCUUCAUUCUUCAAGCUUUGAACUUCGCAUCCCAAGGCAUAAAUUUGACCUCGCAUCUCCAGAGAAUAUCCAUGAUUCUGCGAAAAUCUGCUCCAUUAUCAGUCUGAGUACUUGCUUCGGCUCGAUCUGAUGGAGUAAAUGCAGACGAUGGUAGAUUAGCAUAAUCUCGCAGGUUUGGCGAUGAAACUUCAUGACCUUCCUCUGGAAACUGAGAUGCAUAAACAUCAUCUGGGUCUGCUGGUGAGCGACUGACUCCUUCACUUGCAUCAGGAUAUGAAGACUUCACUCCUUUCUCCUGAUCUCCCCUUGUUUCCAUGCCUACAGGUGGAGAAGAGUGUUCUUCAGGUUCUCCUUCUUCUCUUCUUUCUUCUUCAGGUCUUUCCUCCUCUGUUUCUUUUUCAGCUUCUAUUUCUUCUUCUUCCUUCUCCUCUGCUUCUUUCGUCAUUUGUUCCGAUUCUUUCUAUGGAACAGGACGACUUAAAUUCUUCAAAGCCAAUGCAGAGAUGGUGAUGUCUUCCUCAUCAUCUUCAUCCUCAACGAGGAGAGCUCUUCUUCUCUUGGAUGGAGCAACCAUGGGCUCCUUCCCUUUUCUUUUAGCUGCAGAAGAGAUUUGAUGAGAUUUUGCAGGAGUCUUCUCCUUGAAUUUCUCCAACUUCUUGCUCAGUUCCUUCAGACGCAUUUUGGUCACCAUUUUCAGUCCUACCACCAUAUGAUCGCAUGGUCGAACACAAAAGAUUUGUGGAGGCUGAAUAUUCAGAUGUCUGAAUAACUUCGUAACAAGGCUUGGGUAAGGGAGUUGACCUCUGUCCUUCAUCAUUGCUCUAUACAUGUGAAACAUCACAGUGUGAGGGAGAGAAAACCUUUUUCCAAAGAGAAUGGCAUACAUCAGCUUGGCCUCUGAACUUGAAACAUCAGUCUUGGAAGUUGAUUUCGGUCGGAGGCAAUUAAUCACAAUCUUGUGAAGCAAGAUGUUGAAUGCACCCAUCCUUAAGUAGGUGAUCUUUUCAUCUGUUCUCCUGUCCUUCACCAGUUUAAGUGUGGCCCGAGCAAUGGAAACUUUGAUUGGUUGAUAUCUUCCUCUUUCGACUUCUAACACAUCUGCCAGCAUAUUCAUAUCCACAACAUAGUCUUGGUCUUUAAUGCUGAAAGAGAAUCUAUUCGCAUCUAAAAAGCUUAGAUUUGAAUAGAAAUAUGCAGUUAAUUCAACAUAGGCCUCUGUAGAGUCAGAGCAGAACUUUUCAAGUUGAAGAUAACUGAACUUUUCCCUUAAGUUCACAUUCACAGUAUCCAGAAAAUCAAAAUCCACACUCUUAGGGUUUAUUACCCCACACUUCAGCAAUUUCGAGUACAGAUCAUUUUGCUCCUUUGAUCUGAACAAAUCUCCCAUUUUUCCUUGAUUUUCAACCGCAACACCCAUUUUCGGUUGAAAUUGACUGUAUAAUUUAUCAUCAUCAUUCCCAUCUACAGGAUUCGGCCCCCAGUCACGAGGAUCACUUGAGAUAUUUGCAAGGGUUUCCUCAGCCACCCCUUUUCGAGCAAUUCCCAAACUUUCCAUUUUUCACAGAAAUAUAUAUUCGUUCCCAUGUCCUUUGUCUUUAAGAAAAUCAUCAAUGUAGUUCAAAGGAGUACGAAUUCCUUUUAAGGCACGAUAUAACUGGUAAAUAUAAGCGGGCUUUUGAACUCUUACAGGGUUUGCAUCCUCGAUGAUUUCUUCCUGUUGUUGAUGAUCAACGCCUUGAGGACUAGAUAGAGGAGAAUGACGCUGUUGAGAAUGUUGUGGGCUCGCUUGCUGUUCUGGAGUCACUUCUUCUUCAGUAAGAUCGAAGUGCGUAGGCCCCUCACUCAUUCGCCGUGGUCCCCUGCUUGCAAUUCUCGAAGACUUUCUUGAAGAUGACAUCUUUCUCAGUUUUUGGAAGAUUCCUUGCUUGACUUUCCCAGGAAAGAUGACAACUUUUUGAGGAUUAAACGAAGAAGACAAACGGGAAUGGAGGAUCGAUGCUUUCUAGGGUUUUUGAGAGAAAAGUGAAGAUGAAUCGACAGUGCACGAUCGGUUAAAAAGAGGGAUAAACGAACCGUCACAAAGGAAAUAAAAAAAAUGCCUUUUCAAAAUAACUAUCUUUUUCCGCAAAAAUAGCCAUUUUAAAAAUAACUUCCUUUUUGAAAAUGAAACGAUGCAAUAUUUACGUCAAUUAAAUAUAGCAACAAUUUAAACACAGUCUGACGAUCGUACCUUUUCAAGAUGAGAUUCAAGAGAGAAAGACUUACAGUCUGACGGUCGUACCAAGACUAUCUUUUAGAUAAAGUCUUGUAAGACUGAGUCUGAAAGUCUUUAGACUUUGAUAUCCUCAUACCUCAAAAUGUUGAGUCUGGAACGUAUAGACUCAAAUUGAUUUUUCUUCAAAGGCUUUGUGAAUAUAUUCGCCAGUUGAUUCUUUGAGUCAACAAAUUGAAUUGAAACAUCUCCAUUUUGAACAUGGUCUCUAAUAAAGUGAUGUCGAAUCUCUAUAUGCUUUGCUCUUGAGUGGAGAAUUGGAUUUUUGGUGAGGUUGAUAGCGCUGGUGUUGUCGCAAUUAAUCUCCAUGCAUGAGUCUUCAAUUUCAAAGUCUCUUAGCUGUUGUUUUAUCCAUAGAAUUUGCGAACAGCAGCUUCCCAGGGCUACAUACUCUGCUUCUGUUGUUGAAAGGGACACAGUGCUUUGUUUCCUUGAAAACCAAGACACUGUCCUGCUUCCAAGCAACUAGCAAGUUCCCGAAGUGCUCUUUCUAUCAACUCUGCAACCAGCCAGAUCUGCGUCUAAAUAUCCCAGAAGAUUAAAUUCUCCCUUCUUAGGAUACCAAAGACCGAUGCUUGAUGAUGAAUCAACGUAUUUAAUGAUGCGUUUCGCAGCACUGAGAUGGGAUUCUCUAGGAUCUGAUUGAAACCUAGCACAGAUGCAAACACUCAACAAGAUGUCAGGUCUAGAAGCAGUAAGAUAAAGAAGUGAACCAAUGAUGCUCCUGUGCAGCUUUUGAUCAACUUUCUUCCCUUCUUCAUCUUUGUCUAUCUUCAAAGAACUUGACAUCGGUAUGUCGGUCUUUUUGCACUUUUCUAGUCCAAAUCUUUUGACAAUAUCAUUAACAUAUUUUUCUUGAUAAAUAAAAGUUCCUUCCUUCAAUUGUUUUACUUGAAGACCAAGAAAGAAUGUUAACUCUCCCAUCAUACUCAUUUCAAACUCAUCCUACAUAGACUUAGAAAAUUUCUUAUACAGAUUUUCAUUAGAGGAUCCGAAAAUAAUGUCAUCCACAUAUAUUUGAACAAGUAAGAAACUUUUGUUUUCCUUUUUGAUAAAUAAAGUCGUAUCUACUUUACCUUUGACAAAACCAUUUUGUAUUAAAAACUUACUUAAUCUGUUGUACCAAGCUCGAGGUGCUUGCUUUAAACCAUACAAAACUUUUUUCAGUCUGAAGACUGAGUCUGGCUUCUUUGGGUCUUCAAACCCUGGUGGUUGUUCCACAUAAACUUCCUCAUGGAUAAAUCCAUUUAGGAAGGCGCUUUUGACGUCCAUUUGGAAUAACCUGAAAUUCUUAUAACAAGCAAACGCAAGUAAUAGUCGAAUAGCUUCUAACCUUGCUACUGGAGCGUAAGUCUCAUCAUAGUCUAUUCCUUCUUCUUGCGUAUAUCCCUUGGCUACGAGUCUUGCUUUGUUUCGUACGACUUUUCCUUUCUCAUUCAUCUUGUUUCUGAACACCCAUUUAGCUCCAAUAACAGUUUUACCUUUUGGUUUGGAUGUCAAUUCCCAGACAUCAUUAAUGUUGAACUGUCUGAGCUCUUCUUGCAUAGCUUCAAUCCAGCUUUCAUCAGAUAAAGCUUCUUCUAUGCUCUUUGGUUCAAUUUCAGAAACGAGAGCCACAGCACUAGACUCUUCUUGCCUUUUGGAUCUGGUGCGAAUUCCUUCAUUAAUUUCGCCGAUUAUAAGAUCUUUGGGAUGACUGGACUUAUGCUUCCAGUUACUUGUUGAUUUGUCUGGUUGAUGAUUUCUCUCUUUGUUUGGAUCUUCACGGACAUCCUGAUGCUGGUUUUCCAGAGUCUGAGAUGCUUCUUGAGUUGUAAGCUUUGGAAGGUCUGGAGCAGGUUCAGACUCUUCUUGAUGAGUCUGACUUGAUUCAUCUUGCGUUGAGUCUUGAAAUUUGACAUUCAUUGACUCCUCUACAGACUGGCUCUUCUUGUUAUAGACUCUGAAAGCUUUGCUUGAUGUAGAAUAUCCAAGGAAGAUACCUUCAUCUGAUCUUUCUUCAAACUUACCAACUCGAUCUUUUGCAUUUUUUAAUAUAAAACAUUUGCAACUGAAUACAUGAAAGUAUGAAACAAUAGGCUUCUUAUCUUUGAAUAACUCAUAAGGGGUUUUCUCUAGAAUAGGUCUUAAGAAGACUCUAUUGAUUAUAUAGCAUGCUAUUGAAACAGCUUCAGCCCAAAAUCGUGAAGAAAUCAUGCUUUCAAUUAAAAGAGUUCUAGCCAUUUCUUGAAGAGAUCUGUUCUUUCUUUCCACAACUCCAUUUUGCUGAGGAGUAUAUGGAGAGGAGAACACAUGAUUAAAUCCAGAUUCAUCACAAAAUUUUAUAAAAUCUUGAUUUUCAAAUUCACCUCCAUGAUCUGUUCUUAUACUUGAGAUGACACAUCCUUUUUCAUUUUGAACCUUUUUAGCAAAUUUUUCAAAAUACGAGAAGGUUUCGGACUUACUUACAAGGAAAUAUACCCAAGUAAAACGGGAGUAAUCGUCCACAAUUACUAGGCAAUAUUUCUUACCUCCAAUACUCUGUGUUCUGGUUGGUCCGAAGAGAUCCAUAUGCAGCAACUGUAGUACAUGAUUAGUAGAGACAUGAUUUAUUGGCUUAUAUGAAUUUCUUACCUGCUUUCCCAGAAUACAUGGAGUGCAUGGAUCAGUCUUUUGAUAAGGUAAUUUGGGUAGUCCUAAACCAAGCUGUUUAGAUGAGAUUUUGGCUAAUUGCUUCAUGUUGACAUGACCAAGCUUUCUGUGCCAUAAGCUUGCUUCGUCUUGAAUUGAGAUAAAACAUUGCGAUUCAUUUGGUUUCACAUCCAGAAGAUAGAUGUUUCCAUGUCUUCGACCCAUGAAAGACUGAGUAGAGUCUUUACUGAUUCCAGAACAUAUUCCUUCUUGAAAGAAGAUCUUGAAACCAGUAUCACACAGUUGACUAAUGCUGAGAAGAUUGUAAUUGAGUCCUUCCACUAAGGAAACAUUACUUAUUGUGAGAUUUCCAAUUUUCACAGUUCCAAAUCCCACAAUACUUCCUUUGCUGUUUCCUCCAAAUGAAACUUUUCCACCAUUUACUUGAACAAUUUGAGUCUCUUGUCAUGUGUCUUGAGCAUCCACUGUCAAGAUACCCCUUUACCUUUUUCUUGACGAUGACCUGCAUUUAAAAUAGAGUCUCAAGCUUUCUUUGGUACCCAAACUUUCUUGGGUCCUUUGGUGUUAGUAACAUAAGCAGUAUUAGCCCAUAUUUUCUUAACAGGUUUCCAAACCAUAGGACACUCUUUUUCAAAGUGAUCCGGACUGUUGCAUUUUGAACAUCUGAGAGCAUUUCUACCUACAGAUUUUACAAAAACUUUCUUGAAGUGAUUUUUGUAAGCCUCUCUCGAGAGUCUUUUCUUAAUUCUUUCUUUUACUUUAGGAAAAUCAAUCAAGGGAAUUGUUUCUGCUGUCAUACCUAGACCGGACUUAUUGAAGUAAGGUCUUUCAGCUAAAAGAAUUUUCUCAAGUUUUUCAAACCCUAUUGAAAAUUUCUUUGAAAUAUUUGAUAAGUCUGUUUUUAAAAGAGCAUUUUCUUUUAAAAGAUUAACUUUGUGACAUCCUGAAAUUCGACCCUGCUUCGAUAAAGUGAAAUUGACAUUUUGUCAACGUGUUUACGGUCCUUUUUCUCUGAGCUGAUCACUCACGAGUUAACUAACCUAUUGAGUGAAGCCGUUAAGGGAUGUAUCUGUAGUAAAAUCCCUAAAAGCUACUCAAUUUGUUGGAUUGGACUAAAAUCAUGUCUGACAGAUUUUUAACCACGAAAUUGAACUCGAUUUCGGGAAUCGAAUUUUAAGCGCGUCAUAAUUCCUUUUUAGGACCUGGUCUCAUCGUUCGUCAAUUUAUUGACGAGUCCGAAAUUUCAAUAAAGAAAUUAUCGGAAGAAAAAUUGAAGCCCGAAAAGAAAUAGAAAGGGAAAGAGAAAAGAAAAGAAAAGAAAAAAAUAAUACCAUGUGGUGUUAUAUUAGUUAUUUCUUUUCUCUUCCUCCCUCUUCUUUUCUUUCUUUUUCUUUUUUCUCUCUCUUCUCUCUCUUCUUUCCCUCCCCCUCGUGCGAAACCCUUCCCCACCGCCUAUUCUCUCUCUCUUUUCCUCUUUGACUAGUCAAUGCUUAUCUCUCUCUUCUCUCUCCUCUCUCUUCCUCCUUCCCGCACAUGACAGAACCAGCUUCUUCUUCUCCUUCUUUCUUCGCGAGCGAACCAGAACCAGAAGCUGCAGCUCCGUCGUCGCCCGUCCCGCCGCCGCACCGCCGCUCGUACGCCCGCGACAGCCCNNNNNNNNNNNNNNNNNNNNNNNNNNNNNNNNNNNNNNNNNNNNNNNNNNNNNNNNNNNNNNNNNNNNNNNNNNNNNNNNNNNNNNNNNNNNNNNNNNNNNNNNNNNNNNNNNNNNNNNNNNNNNNNNNNNNNNNNNNNNNNNNNNNNNNNNNNNNNNNNNNNNNNNNNNNNNNNNNNNNNNNNNNNNNNNNNNNNNNNNNNNNNNNNNNNNNNNNNNNNNNNNNNNNNNNNNNNNNNNNNNNNNNNNNNNNNNNNNNNNNNNNNNNNNNNNNNNNNNNNNNNNNNNNNNNNNNNNNNNNNNNNNNNNNNNNNNNNNNNNNNNNNNNNNNNNNNNNNNNNNNNNNNNNNNNNNNNNNNNNNNNNNNNNNNNNNNNNNNNNNNNNNNNNNNNNNNNNNNNNNNNNNNNNNNNNNNNNNNNNNNNNNNNNNNNNNNNNNNNNNNNNNNNNNNNNNNNNNNNNNNNNNNNNNNNNNNNNNNNNNNNNNNNNNNNNNNNNUAGACGUGGUCUACUAAUAAUGGAAGUGCCUCGGGAUUUUUCCCGACCCUUAGUGGGCUCCAAUUAGGCUUUUCGGGCCUAAGUGGAUUUUUUUAGUAUUUAAAUAUUAAUUUUCGGAAUUAAAUUAAAUAAUUAUUUAUUUUCCGAAAAUUCAACUGAGAUGGCCCGGGACCGGAAUAUUGUGCUGAUGACCGUGGUGAAGUCCGUUUAGUUAAUCGGGCUUUAUUCUGAGCUAAAUUGAAUUUUUAAUAUUAAUUAUUUAAUUUUCGAAAUUAAUAAAUUAAUUAAUUAUUUUUCGGAAAUUAAGAUUUUGAUGGCCGACGACCAAAAUCUCGUGCUAAUCGUCGUGGCGUAGUCCAUUUAUUUAUUUGAGCUCCACGUUGCGUGGAAUUAAAUAAAUUGUGAUAUUUUUGGGGAUUUACCCUAAAUUGAUUGGAAUUGAUUGAGAUUGAAUUAUUGAUUGGUAAAUGGCCAAGUAUGUUUAUUCAUUGUUGCAAUGCCUUGUUGAGUUGUAAAGUGAGUAGAAUUGUGAGAGUGAUUCGAAUAUACUCUUGGCUAAGAUCCAUCAGGUAUGUUAAUAUCGUGUGAAAAUUGAGUGAGUUGAUGAGUAUGUGGGGAUUCAUCCCAAGAUUGAUCAAUGUCGGUAUUCAAUUAGAAUUUGACUAUGAGAGGUUGUGAGUUGAACCUCGAAAGCCGCCGAAAUAUGGCUAUGCCAGUUGGGCCGAGAUUUGCCACCGAAUUUGGAGUCGGUCGUGCCUGAUAAGGCCGUAAUCUGCCACCUAUUAAAGGUCGCGCCCGUUGGGCCGUAAAUUGCCACCUAUUAAAGGUCGCGCCUGUUAAGGCCGUAAUUUGCCACCCGAUAAGGGUCGCGCCUGAUAAGGCCGUAAUUUGCCACCAUUAAAGGUCACGCCCAUUGGGCCGUAAUUUGCUACCUAAAGAUAGGUCGUGUCCUUCGGGACUGUAAUUUGUUGCCAAGAAAUUUGGUAGUCUAUGCUUGUGAAGUCGUGAGUACGAUUUGAACCUGAAUAAGGGAAACGACUGGGGAAUGGUCGAAUUGACAUGAAAUCGACUAGGUCGAUGGAUCGAGAUAUUGAUGUAAUUGCUUUGGUGCCUAUUGAACUGUGCUAAUAUGCAGGUGGAGUCUGAGGCCAAGGUAAGUCCUCUGCCAUGUGCGUGUUUAGGCAGCCUAUAGUAUAAUAGUUUACUAAUCGGGCUUAGUGGGGUAGAACUCGCUGAGACGUAGUCUCUUCCCGGUUUGGGGAAAAACAUUUCAGGACCCCGCUGAGGAGCUAAGGAGGAGUCUGAGAAGGAGAACUCGGAGGUGAAACUUAAGGAGAAAGAUUUUUUGGGAGAAGAUGAUAAUCCCGAGAAAGGGCCUUGAGUACAGUCUGGAUGGAUUGAGAUCCUAUCUUCUUUUGAGAUCUCCAUUUUGAUAUGAAUAGUUUUGAAGUGGUUUGUGUUUUGUAUAAAAGUUUGGUUAUAAAUUUCAAUAUGAAAAAUAUGGCCCUACUUUUCUAUCCCAUUAUUUUAUUAUCUGGGGAUUUAUAACUGCUUCCGCAUGUGCAUAAUAAUUGAAAGGGUCGGCGAUACAUUGUCCUGGGAUAUCGCAUUUUAAAAUCGACCAAGUAAAAGGAUGUGUUCGUGCCCGAGGAUUGGGGCGUGACAAUCUUCAUUUUCUUUAAGAGUGGAAACAGUCAAGUCUAGACUUUUAACUCUUUCUACUAAAACAUUUUCCUUUUGUUUUAGAGCUGAGUUUUCCUUUUUCAGUUCGGAAAUUCUUUUGAGAGAAUUCUUAAGACUAAAACACAGUUCAUCAAUGUAUUUAGAAACUUUGACAGGAAUUUUAAAAUUACUUGCCUCAAAUUCACUGUCUGAGUCUGAUCCAGAGUCUGAGUCUGAUUGUGCCAUCAGACAUAGAUUGUCAUAUUCAUUAUCACUUUCUUCACACUCUGUAUCACUCCAGGUUUCGGCUUUGAGAGCUUUUCGAAAUUUUUCAGCUUUUCCUUUAUUCUUCUUCAGAAGAGGACAGUUGGGUCUGAUGUGUCCAUUUUUCUUACAUUCAAAGCAGACUACGUCUUUGUUUGGUUCCUCAUCAUCAACAGACUUGGUCUGCUGUCUUUGAAAGCUUUGUUUCUUUGAGUUGAACCUUCUUCCUUUUCUAUUCAGUUUUCUGAAUCUUCUUAUCAUGAGAGCAAGCUCCUCAUCGUCCAUAUCUUCUUCAGAAUCUGUAUCAUCAGAAUCAUCAUUUGAUUUUAAUGCAAUGGAUUUCUUACCUUUUGGAUCUUCAUCUUCAUUGAUCCGUUCCACUUCAUAAGACUGAAGAGUUCCAAUUAGCUCGUCGACAGAUAGUGGCAUAAUUCUUUGCGUCUCUCUUAUCGAAGUCUUUAUGUGAUUCCAAUCCCUGGAGAGUCCACGCAGUAGCUUGUUUACCUUCAUGGGAUCAGAAGUUGGUUGACCUUGAUUUUCAAGACCAUUCACAAUAUCUGUAAAAUGACUAAACAUGUCAGAUAUAGAUUCUCCUGGUUUCAUUCUGAAGGCUUCGUAUUGACCGAGAAGAAUGUUGAUUCUUGUUUCCUUCACUCAAUCUGUUCCUUCAUAGGUGAUAUGCAAUCUGUCCCAAACUUCUUUUGCUGUAACACAAGAAGAUAUUCUAUUAUAUUCAGUUGGUGACAAAGCACAAUAUAAGGAAUAAAUUGCUUUUGCAUCGAGUGCUUGUCUCUUGAUUAUCUCUUCCCGAGUCAUUUCGCUGGUCUCAUCAGUUUCUUUUCCUCUUUCAGAGACUGAUGCAGUGGUAGGAGUAAUUCCUUUUUCUACAACGUCCCAUUCCAGAGGAUCCUUUGAUCGAAGGAAAGCUUUCAUCUUGUUCUUCCAGAUGUUGUAAUCCUUUCCAUCAAAGUAUGGUGGUCUUGUAUUGCUUUGCCCUUCCAUCAGCCCUGGUGCUAGCAUACUAGCCAUGAAUCUUUUACUACGAAGUAAAACACUUCAAAUAAAGUAAGUACACAGGCUCUGAUACCAAUUGAUAUUGCUAGUAUGAGUACCUAGAGGGGGUGAAUAGGUAUAUAAAAGAUUUUUCUUCAACAAUUGCACAAUACUAGACAGUAGAAGGAAACGUUAAUCAAAGUAAGACUGAGAGAAGAGAAAAUUGAACACGCGGUUUAUAGUGGUUCGGCUUAUAUCAAGCCUACGUCCACUCUUCUUCACUGACAGCCUAAUGGCUGGAUUCUACUAUGAACAAAAGAGAAGUUACAGCACAGCUUUGCCUUGAUUCCACAGUGUAGAUGUUCUACCACACCUCCUCAAGAUUUCUCACAAAUAUAGACUCUCUUUUGUAUACAAGUAUUCGCUCAAAGGAUUUGUCUAAACAAAAAGGAGCUUCAGACUUUGGAAUUAUUCUAUCGCGCACACCUUGAACAACUAAGACCGUCUUCCUUAUAUACUUCUUUAUGCCAUCAUACCCGUUGGCACUUACCAAAGGAAUUCCUCCAAUCUACCCGUUGGACAGAAUCAAUUAGGAAGAUUGUUCAAGCUAUUAAAGGAACGUGUUGAUAGCCCAUCAAUCAUGUUCGCCCAUACAAUCAGGAUCUCGGUUUCCAUAAGCAGAACCUUCCAAUAAUAUUUAGGCAAUCACCGGAUCUUCAAUUAUCGAGUCAAUCUUCGAUCAAUCAAAGGACUCCGUUAUGUCUUCUCCAGCCACGAGAUCUUCUCCAGUUGAUAAAGUUAAAUCUUUAACAAAACAUCCAGUUCUGGAUAACCUUUCUUCAACGGAUUAGAGACUGUCAAUGAGGAUAGACUUUGAGUUUUGAGUCUGGCUGUCCGGAGGUCUUCAAAUUUUAAACAGCAGAGUCUGCAAGCCUUCAGACUAGACUGAUAGAAACGUUUUGUCAACUUCAAAACACUCAAAGAGUCUUAUUUUAUACAUACAUACAUAAAUACAUACAUACAUACAUACAUAUAUAUGGAGUUAUUGUGUGCUAGAACAUUGUACCGUACAACUUUAAGAUGCUUAAUCAUAAUUAAGUAUAAAACGUUGUGAGAUAUGAUGGCUUUCAUUUAACAACGAUUUUGUUAUGCAUCCAUUUCACGCGACGCUUUCACCGGCAACAGAGUGAGAGGUACUUUCUUGAACACGGCUAGUCCAGCCCCUUCUUCCAUGCUCACGUCUCCCUCUGUCAUUCCCUCCGGCAAUUGCCAAUCGAAGGAGUGCAAGACAUUGGCAAGCGCCAGCUCGAUCGUUGCCAUGGCCAUUGACAUCCCAGGGCAUCCCCUCCGCCCCGCCCCAAAUGGUAACAACUCGAAAUGAUUCCCCUUAUAAUCAAUUGGACUUUCCUCGAACCUCUCCGGCACGAACUCCUCCGGGCGCUCCCACAGGCCUGGGUCUCGCCCGAUGCCCCAUACAUUCACCAGGACACGACUCUUUGGGUCAACAUCGUAGCCAAAUAGCUUGAAAUGGUCCAUGGUUUCCCUUGGAAGGAGUAGUGCACCUGGAGGGUGUAGCCUCAUCACUUCUUUGAGUACUAACUUGAGAUAUUUGAGUUUGCUAAGGUCAUCUUCUACGACCCAUUUCUUGUUUCCAACGCAACUCCGGAUCUCUUCUUGAGCUUUUCGCAUCGCCUUGGGUUCCUGACGAGCUCGGCCAUUGUCCAGUCCAUGACGACUGCACCGGUGUCCACCCCUCCUAGAAAUAUAUCCUGAUAACGACCAUGAAGUCAUGAUUCACAAAAAAAAAGACAUAUAGAUCAAUUUUUGCCAUGAUAUCAUUUAUACCCGAGAAACACUGUGUAUUCAUUUAAGGAGUUCUUAAAUUAUAUCCUGCAAUAUAUAGAACCUUCGAUUUUGCUUCUCGAUUGUGUAUAUGAUCUACAUUAGGUAAUACGUAGGGAUUGUAUGAUGUACCAUCAAGAUGGCCUUGAUAUUUUCUUCCUUCAGCCGGACCCCGGCGAGCUCAGUCUGAUCUUUCUCCAUCUUCAGCAGCAAAUCGACAAUGUCUACCUCUUCCUCGUUUCUCUUAUUUGAAUUCCGAUGCUCUUCGAUCACCUUCUGAUAGAAAACGUCCAAAUUGCGAAAGCUCUUCUCCAACCUCGAAUGGAGACCCGUGAACCUGUCCACGAUCCAGCCGAAUUGAGGGAAAUAAUCAGAUGCCGAGAAGCUUCCCAACAUCGCCACUGCCUCGUGAAUCAUAUGCAUGAACCUUCCGUUUUCGAACUCCAUCCCGUGAAAUGCCUUCCCAAACGCAACCCUGCAUGCAAGGUGUGCAAACAAGUAGUUUCUAGUGAGCGAUUCAUGCUUCGCUCUCAGGCUUGACAAACUUCCGUUUGGAGCAGUGACUUGAAUCAAAGCUGAAGUUGAUAAUAGCCAAAUAAUCGCCUAGCUUGUAACACUGAUCGAAUCUAAUUAAACAUAGUCAAGUUCGAACGUAGAACUCAUCGUCAACUUGAGCUUGAGUUUAAAGAACGAGGCUCAAUAUGUUGUCGAACCCUGAAGAAUUCGAGUAGUGAUUAACGAUGGCAAAAUGGGUUAAAGAGCCAACUUUUUAUUCAAAUUUAGAGGGUUGAGUUUAUAUGCGGGUUAGUUAAAAGUUAAAAAACAGUUUGUUAUGAAUUCAGAGUAAUAAAGCCCGACUAGAUAUGAAUUUUACGAAUUUACAAUAUAUUCAUUUUCAACCAAUUGCUAGCACUUAGGCGAUUGCUCGGCAUCAAACAAGUCGUCCAUACUUUUCACCAUGGCCAUAUCUCCUACUUCCUUGUGAUGAGUGAUGAGAGACAUAAGUAUAUAAAUUGUCGACGCAUGCCUCUCUUUCUACGUUAAAAUUUAUCAAUCCAUUUUCUUUCAUUAAUUGGCUGUUUAUAUGGUCGCGUGAUCAUUAUUUAAUACACAUGAAAAGUUAUUGAGUCGAUGUAUGCCCUACCUAACGAUGAAUCAAUAUAAUUAAAUGGAUAACUUAGUCGACUGGACUCCUCAACUACACUACUAUGCCCUACCUGCAAGUGAAGUUAGCCGUCAGAGCCAUGAACUUCUCGCUCAUAUUAAUCGGAGUUCCACUCUCUGCUGAUUUUGCAAUCGACUCGAUCAUAGAUCCCACCUCCUCCUCCCUGAUGUAUCGGAAGGAGUGGACUCGCUUUGCACUGAACAACUCAAGCACACACAACUUCCUUACCUCCCUCCAGUAAUCGCCAUACUCCACGAAGGCCAUAUCGAGGGAGUCAUAGGUGAGGCGUCCUGUGCCGACCAGCCGUGGGCGACUGCAACAAUCGAGGUCAUGGGUCUUGAGGACCUCCCUGGCGGCUUCAGGGGAGGACGUUACGAUGGUAGGGACACCGCCGAGGCGGAUGAACAUGACGGGGCCAUACCGUCUGGAGAGUUUCCACAGAGACUGAUGAGGCAAAUGGCCGAGUUGGUGGAGGUUGCCUAUGAUGGGGAGUGGUGGAGGCCCUGGAGGGAGGUUCUUCUUUUUGUUAUUGAAGUUUUUCACUGAGAGGAGGAAAAGGAGGAGAGGAAGGGAAACAGCAAGCCACGUGAAGAGGAUGUGAAGAGCCAUUGUCGGGAUGGUUAUGUGCAGUAAGAAUACUUAAAAUGUUGAGUUAAUUUGGCGUGGUUGAGUAGUGUUAUAUACAAAAUGGAUGCUGAAGAAUCAACUCUUGGAAUUGAUACAUAGACUUUUCUGAUCUGUCUGUAGUGACGAUUUUUCUCUGAUUAUCCACAGACAAAAAUGGUGGAUGAAUCCAUGAUGAUCACUUCUUGCAUAAUAUGACCGAUUCAUAACAUGUUGAUGUUCAAGAAGAUAUUGAUUCCUAAUUGGAAUCUGCAGCUUCAUCCUAAAGAUUUUCAAGUUGUUUCAACAUUAUUAGUUACCAAGGGGCCUCAAAAAGUAAAGGGCGUGUGUUUGACAUGCUUGACUUCUCCAAUUAUAAAGGAAACUUAAAAACAUCUACCAUCUUCAAUUUUGUUAAGAAAAUUCCAAUAAAGCACCUUGCUUUGCCGUGAUAGUCAGGAUAACAAGAAAUUGUCAAUGGACACAAAGGAGAUUAUUUGAAAGAGUCAACAUAUUUCUCAUCUUGUCUUAUUUUACCGAUAUAUUAUCAUGGAUGGAUAAUUUUCUCAACAUGAAACAAUUUACAUUCAUGCUACUCAAACUUGAUUCGCAUCAACUACAGGCUUGAGUUUGGCCUUGUAUACCUUGCAUUAUUAAAAACAAUUUGUACACGCAUUGAAUUUGUGAAACUAGAUAUUGUACCGCGGUUCUCAUUCAUCGAAUUUCUCAAAUGAUUUCUUUUCAUGCAUGGCCUUAUGAAAAGUCUUGCUUUGAACUCAAUGGAAAAAGGCCGAGAAUUUUCAUUAGAUUACUUGAAUGUAUAUUACUUUCAUAAAGGUACUACGCUAAACGAUUGUUUGAGAUAUCACUUUGGUGGGCUGCCAAUGAAAAUUUAUGCUAUGUAAUCGAAAGUUUUUUUUUUUUUUUUUGGCACCGAGAGUUGUUAGUCCUAAUUAAUUAUGAAGGUUUUCAAGUAUAUUGGUGCCAAAAAAGUCCUAAACCUUUUGUAUUUGUGCUGAUUUAGUCCUAAACCUUUUUUUAGUGCUGAUUUAGUCCUAAACAUUUUUACGUUGUGCAAAUUCAGUCAUUUCUAGCCAAUUUUGGUCAGAAUUUGCUGACUAGACGCCAGUCAGCUUACGUGGCCUGACCGAUGCUGACAUGGACUACUUUUAAUAAUAUUUUAAUAUUUUUGAAUUUUUUUUUCUUUUUUUCUUCUCAUCUUCUUCCUCCAGUCGGUCGCCAGACCUCGUCGCCUGGCUCAACCUCGCCGGCCACCUCGCCAAUGGCUGCGAGAGUGACCUUGCACUGGGCGGGAAGGCUCGCCCUUGCUAGAUCUAGCCAAGGCGAGCCUCACCUGCCUGGCGCGAGGCCGCCCUUAAGGCCUAGGCAGCGAGCCUCGCCCAUGGCCGGCGAGGGCGAGCCCCGCCAGCUCAGUGCAAGGAGGCAGCCGAAUUCAGUCCUCGAGGCCUAUCGUCGUCCUCCUCCGACAUGUCGACACCCGGCGGCAUGGAGGCAAGCUUUGCGGCGCGCGCCGAGAGCACCUUCUCGACGAUUUUCAGGCUUGGGUCUUCGUUCACUUUGUGACAUCCGAAUUUCGCCGGACCUCGAAUAUGUAACUGUCUGAGACGGGUUGACGAAUUUAUCAUCGGAUUACGUCAUUGGCACUACUUACGACCCCAUUUCAUCACCAUCGCUAGACCGAGACAUCACGUUUCGUGAUGGUCUUAUGACAUACCCUCGUGGUCAUGUCUUUGCCACGUCGAGACGAUCUGAUUUUCAUAUAUCUUAUCGUCUCGUCGAAAAUCUUCUUACGUAACACCAUCCGCGAGACCAAGAUUCUUUCCAACUAACACGUUGCCAAGCCAUUUUUCGUGAAGACGUCCGUUGUCUCUCACGCGUGCGUGCACAAGGCAAGGGACCGAGAAUUCUUCAGUCCAUGUGCAUGCAGAAACAAGGAACCCACGGCCACGUCUUUUCCUUUGUUUAACCAGUCAACCAAGAGGAAAUUGUUGACCCAUGCAGCCUUCACGAACCGGUCCUUCUUCAUGCAGCAUCCGAAGACACGCCGCACCAAAUUGCUUCUCCCAUCGACAGCCAUUUGGACCCCAUUUAGUUGAAUCGGGCAGUCAACUAAAUGAUGGGCACGUAAGUGCAUGGAGCAGCAGGUGUCGUGGACGAAGGGGAAAGAACUUCCCAUGCAAAGACACGGAAACAUGGAGUUGUCCCCGUCCACUGCUGCCACGAAAUUUGGACUGUUGACGUGCGCGCGCUCCUAUCCUUCUUCGGCCAGCAGGCUUCGAAACUCAUGCAUACGGAAGACACGUCCUCUCCAGCUGCUGCUCGCCCGAAGAGCCACCGAAUCAGCCCAUUGUUGACUCUUAAAGUCAACAAAAAUAACCCACGAAUACCUCACUUUUCCCUCUCACGCUCGGCAGUUGUUACAUCCUCUCGACGCCCAUCUUUCUCUCUUUCUCGGUGUUUUUCUCUCUCUCGGCGCCCAAAUUCUCUGUCUUCUUUCUUCAUUUUCAGCGGUGAUUGCAUCGCAGAAAACCCAGAAUUCCUUCACCAUGUCAAUCGUAAUUUGUUGUUCCGCCCAUACUUCGUCGGCCACUCGCACCACACCGCCGCACCACCCACGCCACCAACCUCCUGCGCCACUGUAGACCCAAGUUUCGAUCGCUAUCGCGUCAUUGUCGCCGUGAACCGGUGUAUUUGCUAACCCGGUGAGUUUAUGCACUAAACUCUUCUUAGUAGGCUAAUGACAUUUAAGGGGUAUUUACAUUAAUUUAAGUGUAAUUAAUUUAAUUAUUAAAUAUUUUUUGGAAAUAAGGCCGGGGUAGUCGAUGAUCGGAAUUUUGUAUUGAUUGCAAUGAUGUAGUUAAUUUCUGCAAUCGAGUGUUAAAUUGUGAAAAUUGAGUGCUGAUCGGAAAUUUGGUCAUUUAUUUCAAAAUUUGUGAAUUUCAAUAUUUAUUUAAAAAAUCCCGGGUGUCGGGUUUUAAACACCGAAAAUGGUUUUAUAUAAUAUAUAAACCAGUGGGAUUUUGAAAAGAAGGUUAUGAAUUUUCCAGGUUCAAUCUAAUCGUAUACCCACACACAACUAUUUUUCUUCGGAAGUUUUUAAUAUGAAGAAAAUAGGGCAGGAACACUAUUUUAAUUGAGGCAUUUGAGUGCAAUGCACGGUGUCCUAGGCCGAGAUUGAUUGGUCGUGCGUUGGUUAAGAGAACCCGUCCCCGAACUGUGUCGGAUGGACGUUAUCCUAUAUGGGUUACCCACUUAUUGGGUUUUGGGUCACAAUAGAUUCUGGACCUAUGCUCAUUCGAGAAAGCUGUCUUUGAGAGACAUAGCCGUGCUCAAUGAGGUGAGGAUGCCUGGCUACGCCAGUAGACCGCCGAACUUCAAGUAGGCCGUGCCCUAGAGUGGGCGUAAUUAUCAAUUGGAACGCAUGUUGAGUGAAAUAUAUGUGCCAGAUUAUGGGACAAAAUUGUAUAACAUGGAAUGAGACGUGUCAUAACGAUUUGGCCAUAUAAUCAGGACCCCUGUGCUCAUUUGAGAAUUGAGUAUGGCGUUCCAGUUAUUGAAGCUUAAUUAUUGCUCGUACCGGUAUGGCUAUCUAUGAUAUAAACUGUACUGACCUGUAAGGUAGAUCUGAGGCGAGGUAAGUCAUCUAUACCAAAUGCGUGAUUGUGUGGUUAGGACGCCUUUGGGCAUAUUACCCUCCUAAUCGAGGUUUAGAGCAUGGACUUGCUGGGACAUUAUCUCAUUGGUUAUUGAAUAACCAUUUUCAGGUCCUUAGAAGGUGGUUGUGGAGGACCAAGGCCCCGAACUCUGAGGAGGAGGAUUAUGGAGGAUCGGCGGAUGUGUCCUGUUAGUAUGUCAUAGGAUAACCUCUUUUGAGAGUCGACCUUCCUGUAGGCUUUCAACUAGACUCGUUUUGUACUUGAAUCUCGUUGUUCAUAAAAGUGUGCUUUUGUGAAUUGAUGUCCUACUUUUCUAUCCUGAGAUGAUUACUGUCAGGGGAUUUAUUUUCGCUUCCGCAUAUGCUUAAAAAUGAAUGGGUUGGUGACUCAUCAUCGGAAGUCACAAAUUUUAUCGACCAAAGAGGGAUGGGCAUGUGCUUGAGGUUUGGGGCAUGACACGCUUCUUUGUCGUUGUCGUCAUUGCUGUUGUCGCCAAGCGGCAUUGCGGACUUCAACUUGUGCUCCACGUCGUCUCCUUCGCCGCCAUCGGCUUCGCUCUCCUCCCCAUGCUCCUCAUGCCAAGCUGGCGAGGCUUGCCCUUGCCAGCCAUGGGCGAGGCUCGACCUCGCUAAAUCCGAUAAGGGCGAGCCUCGCCGCCAAGGCCUCGAGGGUAACCUUGUGCCGAGCGGGCAAGCCUCGCCACCCAGCGCGAGGCCGCCCUCGCAGCCAUUGGCGAGGUGGCUGGUGAGGUUGACCUCGACCUCACCAGUCGUCGCCUCUGGCUGAUCGCCGAGGUUCAACAACCGGCUGGAGGAAGAAGAGGAGAAGAAAAAAAUAAUAAUAAAUAAUAAAUAAUAAAAAGAAAAAAAUCAAUAACAUUAAAAUAUUAUCAAAAGUAGUCCACAUCAGCGUUGAUCAGACCACGUUAGUCGACCAGCAUCCAGUUAACAAAUUCCAGCCGACCAGCAUCCAGUUAACAAAUUCCGGCCAAAGUUGGCCGGAAAGAACUAAAGUGGCACAACAUAAAAAGGUUUAGGACUUUUUUGGCACUUUUCCACUAUGUAAUCGAAUUUUUUUUUUUUUUUUGCACCGAGAGUUGUUAGUCCUAAUUAAUUAUGAAGGUUUUCAAGUAUAUUGGUGCAUGAGAAAGAUCGAUAUUAUUUCAAGAGCACUACAUAGGGGCAUAUAUGUCCUUUAGAAUGAUAUUCACCGAACAAUUGAUAGGAUAAGAUAUAAAAACGUCAAACUAUAGAUCCGUAGUUCACCAAAUAAUAAAUAGGAUAUGACAAAAUUAUUCAAACCUUUUCUAACUAGAAAUCUGGAAGACCAAAUGCAAUUUUAUAUCCAAUUUUGUUAGAGCAAUUAGCUAAUUGCAUUGGAUUUGGGUGAUUUUCCAUUAUAUCACGAUAAUGUAUAUACAGGACAUGAGGCUUCUGAAAGUUUGUUGACACCUAAAAAUACCCCCACGAGUAUGUGCAAGGCACGAGGGACAGAAAGCUCUAAAGCCACCAUCACAACCAUAUAUUAGUUAUAAUCCACAUUGGUCCAGCCCAAAAAAUCCAUACGAUACAAGAUAAUUAAGGAUUUUGAGAAAUUUUGGGCUGAAUUUCGACAAAUAAAGAUAUGUAAUAUCAUGAUGAAGCAACAGAACACCACGUGUUGAAGCCAGAGAUCAAUGAUGAAGAUAUAGCCUUAGUGGUAAAAAUAGGCGGGAACAGUUAAAAAGGCAUCAAACUCGAAAGAGGAGCGGUUAAUACUCACUGGACAAGUCAUGACACUAUUAUCGAACAAGUAUGGAUAAGGCAGUUUAGCAUGAAAUGUGGAGUGACUCUUGAGGAGAAAGUAACCGACUAAUUGACGGUUACCAAGUUGGCUUAUAAAUAUCACAAGCUAUCCAAUAGACAACCCCCCCCCCCCCACCAAACAACACACAAAACUACUUUAUAUUGCAUUUAUCUUUACUUAGCUUUAGUCUAACAAUAGCUUAAGAUUCUCAUCAUAGAUUCAAUUUUGGCAAGUGUCUAUAUUCUGGGAAGUGCUGUCAAUUAGGCCCUAUUUGGAAAAUUUUUGUUUUUGUUCCCUGGAACACAAUUUUUCUUCUUUUGUUCCGGGGAACAAAAAAAGAAUAUAAACACGUUUGUUUACAUUUUUGUUCCAGAGAACAAAUUUGGAACAGAAACAAGAAGUGGAAAAAACAUGUUUCUUAUUUCCAUAAACACUUAUGAGAAACACUUUUUUUUUCUCUUUCUUUUCUUCUUCUUUUUUCUCUUUCUUUUCUUCUUCUUCUUCUUCCUUUUACCAGUCACCAGCCUUGGCCAUGGCCAGCACCGGCAACCAUCCAAACGAGGGCCGGCAACCUCAUCGGAGCGUCGCCGGCCCCUGGAGAGGCUGAUCCACGGCGAGGCUCGUCGGCCCGAGCCUUGUGCGGCCACGGCGAGGCUUGACCACCCCAACCGGCGCGAGGUCGGGCCUUGCCAGGCCAAGGCGAGGCCAACCUCGCGCUGCCUAGGUGAGGCCAAGCUAGGCUGGCCUCCGACGAGCUCACCGGACGUCAUUCAGCCGGUCGCCGACCACGACCAUGGCCGACGACUGGCCAAAGAGAAAAAGAAAAAAUAAAAAAGAAAAAAGGAAAAAUAUAAUAAAAAUUUUAAAAAAUUAAACGAAACAAAAAAAUUAUACAAGUUUACCAAAUGCGUUUCUAUUCCUGGAGUAGAAAUUUUUUGCAAUUACCAAACGCGUUCUUAUACUCAUAAAUUGUUCCCUGGAACAAAAAAAAAAAACUAUUUCUAUUCAAAAAUUGUUCCUCGGAACAAAAAAGUUACCAAACGCGCCCUUAGAUUCCAAUACUAACCCAUUGUCUAGCGUCGCUGAUUAGAUUCCGGCAUUAUGUCCUCAUCCUCAUCUAGAGACGGUGUUCAUUAGAUGUUGCAUUUGUCUAGAAUUAUUGGUUAGAUUCCAACAUUAUGUUCAUGCACGCACCUAGGAAUAGUGUAUACUAGGUGUUGUCUACACUAUUCAGCGUCAUUGAUUAGAUUCUGACAUUGUAUCCUCGUAUCUAUCUUAGAUCGGUGUCUACUAGGUGUUAUCCACACUAUCUAACAUCGUUAAUUAGAUUCAGAUGUUGUGUCCUUAAACUUAGUAGAAGGUAGCGCUUUAUCAAGCAUCUUGUUCAUAUCCAAUGUUGUCGAAGUGCCUUCACUAUUGUAUUAUUUUUUUUAGGUCGGUUCAUUAUUGUAUAGACUACUUUAAUUUUAAUGGGCUUUAAUUAUUUUAAUGAUGUCAUUAAUUAGGUUUCAAUAUUAAUUACCGUUGAUAUUGAAGGUUUGAUAGGUUAGCUAAUUCUUUGAUUUCAAGAUUAUAAGGUGUAUAGUCUCAUUCGCAUUUGACCCUCUUUAUUUAAAGUUAAUACAAAACCUGAGUCUCAUUCAAUAAAAAAUUAAAAUAUAAUACUUGGUGAAAGAUAUUUUAUUGCGAGAUCCAAAAUGACUAAACAAAGUUAUAGAAAGAAAAUUGUCUUUGUUGUAACUCUAAAAACUUCUCUAGAAUUCAUGACAACUUUUCUCCAUCAGGAUAUUUCGUCGCUGGUUUGUGCAAGUUGUCUUUGUUUGGCCAAAAAGAAGAGUAGUAUUUGUCUAGAAAUUUUUGGCCCUUUAUUACCUCAUUUGGAGAGGCUUCCUACCUUCCAAUACACUGGUGGGGCUAAAAUAACGGACUCUACACUUACAAAUGAAUUGAGCGGUUAUAACAUGAACCAUGCGGGUGUGAAUCCCAUAUAAUUACUAUUAGAAGAAUAGCCGUGAAGGUCACUUCUGCCCACCGUAUUGUGUAGAAAAAAAAAGGCAUGACUUACUAGUCACUACUAAGCAAAAUUUUUCAGUCCGAUUCCACAAACUACUUUCCACUAGUGUUAAUUCACAAUUUGGAGUUUGGAUCUCAUUAAAUUACAUGAUCAUUUUUCAUGCUAAAAUCUGCUGUUCAUCCUCUUUUAGGUUUGAGAGAUUGAUAUUCUUUUAAUAUUUUUACUUCUUGUGAAAAAAAAAAAAACUAAUACACAGGGGCAGUAAAUUUGUAUUUUAUUUGAAACUGCAAGUGUUUCGGGAGAUUAUUUCAAUUAAUUACGAGCAUGCUUCAAAUGAAUAAAAUAUAUAUUACUAUUCUCUAAUGACUGAACUUUCUAAUAACACGCUAUAACUCAACAAGCGGCAUUACUCUUAUUCAAAAAUAUUAAAACCAAAAAAAAUAAAAAUUUGAUUGAUGUUGAAUCGACCCAUGCAAGUAAAAGGCUUUUAACUCUCAAAGUAAUUUGAGCUCAUGGGAAGCAAAUACAAUUUGUUAAUGCAAAAAUGACUCGCUCAACUGAUGGUCCCCCUUCAAUAAUCACAAUGCACAAAUUCCUCUAAUGGGUCUGUUUAUUAUUUGCCCUGGAGACAAUAUACUCAACGAGUCUUAUUUUCCAUAUAUAUGGAGAUGUUGCAUACUAGAAUAUUGUACCGUACAAUUUUAAGACGCUUGAUCAUAAUCAAGUACAAGACGUUGUGAAACAUGAUGUUUUACAUUUGUCGACACUUUCGUCAUGCGUCAAUUUUAUGCGAUGCCUUUAUCGGCAACAGAGUGAGAGGCACUUUCUUGAACACGGCUAGGCCAGCCCCUUCUUCCAUGUUCACAUCUCCCUCUGUCAUUCCCUCCGGCAAUUCCCAAUCGAAGGAGUGCAAGACAUUGGCAAGCGCCAGCUCGAUCAUCGCCAUGACCAUCGACAUCCCAGGGCAUCGCCUCCGCCCGGCCCCAAAUGGUAUCAGCUCGAAAUGAUUCCCCUUGUAAUCGAUUGGACUGUCCUCGAACCUCUCCGGCACAAACUCCUCCGGACGCUCCCACAGUCCUGGGUCCCGUCCCAUGCCCCACGCAUUCACGUAGACACAGCACUUCGGGUCGACAUCGUAGCCAGAUAGCUUGAAGUGGCCAAUGGUUUCCCUUGGUAUGAGUAGAACACCUGGAGGGUGUAGCCUCAUAACUUCUUUAAGAACUAACUUCAAAUAUUUGAGCCCGCUGAGGUCCUCUUCUACGACCCAUUUCUUGUUUCCAACGCAACUUCGGAUUUCCUCUCGAGCUUUUCGCAUCACCCUCGGGUUCCUAGCGAGCUCAGCCAUUGUCCAGUCCAUGACAACUGCACCGGUGUCCACUCCUCCGAGAAAUAUAUUCUGAUAGUGACCAUGAAGUCAUGAUUCACAAAAAAGACAAAUACAUCAAUUUUUGCCAGGAUAUCGUUUAUAGCCAAAAAAGAGGACGGUGAAUCCAUUUAAGGAGUUCUUAAAUUAUUCCUGCAAUAUAUAGAACCAUCAAGUUGGCUUCUCAAUCGUGUAUAUGAUCUACAUUAAGUAAUACGUAGAGAUUGUAUGAUAUACCAUCAAGAUGGCCUUGAUGUUAUCUUCCUUGAGCCGGACCCCCGCGAGCUCAGUCUGAUCUUUCUCCAUCUUCAGCAGCACAUCGACAAUGUCCUCCUUUCCCUCGUUGCUCUUAUUCGCAUUCCGAUGCUCUUCGAUCACCUUCUGAUAGAGAUCGUCCAAAUUGCGAAAGCUCUUCUCCAACCUCGAAUGGAGCCCCGUGAACCUGUCCACAAUCCAGCCGAGUCGAGGGAAAUAAUCAGAUGCCGAGAAGCUUCCCAACAUCGCCAUUCCCUCGUGAACCAUAUCCAUGAACCCUUCGUCUUCCAACUCCGUCCCCUGAAAUGGCUUCCCAAAUGCGACCCUGCAUGUAAGGUGUGUAAUCAAGUCAGAAUUUCUUGUGAGCGAUUCAUGCUUGGCUCUCAGGCUAGACAAGCUUCGGCUUGGGGUAUUGACUUGAAUCAAGUCUGAACUUGAUAAUAGCUAAACAAUCAGGUAACUUGCGACACUGAAUCUUAUCGAGUAUAGUCAAGUUCGAACAUAGAACUCACUGUCAGGUUGAGCUCUAGUUCAUAGAACCAGGCUCAAUAUAUUGUCAAACCUCGAAGAAUUUGAGUAGUAACUAAAGAUGGAAAGAUCGGUUAAAAACUCACUUUUUAACUUAAAUUUAGUGGGUUGAGUUAUAUGUGGUUUAGUGAAAAGUUAAAAAAAAAAAAAAAAAAGUCGGUAUGUGCUUACAGUAGUAAAGCCCAACUAGACAUGGGUUUUGCGGGGUCCAAAUUCCUUACGAUAUUCAAGAGUUCGUAACUGACGAAUUUCGUCACUUCCACAAUUGAAAUUCUCUCUCCUACAUACUCUAUUCCACAAUCAUUCCUAAAUUAGAAAGUUUUCUUUUUCUUAUAUAAAUGAUAAAAACAACUUCAUUUUCUAAUUUCCCACGCCAGGAGAAAUAACAGAUCUUAUCAUAGUUUGAUUUGUCAAUUUUUUUGGUAAUUUACUAUUCGCUAAUUUCUUCAUAUUUAAUCAGUUUUUAAUCGGUAGGUUUUUCAAUAUGCUAUUUUCCAUAUAUGAAGAGAAAAACUGCUAAUCAGUUUUUAAUCGGGUUGGGUUGGUUGGAUUGGAUCGGGUGUGGGUCGUUAAGAUGGAUCAGUAUAAUUAGAUAGAUAACUUAAUCUUGACCACUAUGCCCAACCUGCAAGUGAAGUUAGCCGUCAGAGCCAUGAACUUCUCGCUCAUAUUAACCGGAGUUCCGCUCUCUGCUGAUUUUGCGAUCGAUUCGAUCAUAGAUCCCACCUCCUCUUCCCUGAUGUAUCGGAAGGACUGGACUCGCUUCAUGCUAAACAGCUCGAGCACACACAGCGUCCUUAACUCCCUCCAGUAAUCGCCGUACUCCACGAAGGCCACGUCGAGGGAAUCAUAGGAGAGGCGUCCCGUGCCGACCAUCUGCGGGCGACUGCAACUAUCAAGGUCGUGGGUCUUGAGGACCUCCCUGGCAGCAUCAGGGGAGGAGAUUACGAUGGUAGGGGUGCCACCGAGGCGGAUGAGCAUGACGGGGCCAUAUCGUCUGGAG
Molecule: long non-coding RNA, 54119 nt
Filed under: Eucalyptus grandis
Lineage: Eukaryota; Viridiplantae; Streptophyta; Magnoliopsida; Myrtales; Myrtaceae
Description: long non-coding RNA (EGRA_LNC001078)
Source: RNAcentral